Molecule: long non-coding RNA, 54395 nt
Filed under: Malus domestica (apple)
Lineage: Eukaryota; Viridiplantae; Streptophyta; Magnoliopsida; Rosales; Rosaceae
Description: long non-coding RNA (MDOM_LNC007187)
Source: RNAcentral
AGCAUACCACUGGCAAAGUUAUACUCAAUUCUUCUUAAGAAACUCAAUGACAUAGGUGUUGAAAGCGGAGCGGAUGACUCGGAAGCCUUGGUAUCCAGAUCCCUUAGCCAAGGCCUCAAACUACUUUUCCGUCCUCUCUUUUCCGCCGGGGUUGUGAGCUAACAAGAUCACGUCGAUAUGGACAACUCCCUUGAUGGCAAGGCUGCUGUCCGGAGCUACUGGAAGAAAGCACAUUCAGCAAGAAUCACCUUCCCAUUGUCGGGUAGCGCGGUAUAGCAGUUCUUCAAAAUUUCAAAUAAUACUCGUCACUCCAUUCAUGACAAAUCCACUGUGAGAUUGCAUAGGCAAUUUGAUAGUAGUUCCAAAUAUAUUAAGAAACUAAGCUUAAGUGUUGAGAAUGAGUCACACAUUAAUAGGAGGAGGGAUCUUACACGGGUUUAUAAGGGGUUGGGCUACUUCCUAUAUUGUCAAUUGGUUUUAUGGUAGAACCUCAACUUUUUUCAUGUUAUUAGAGCAUGUUGUCCCACUGUUGAAGCCUAAUAGCCACACGCGGCCCACGUCACGCCGAUGUGUUGUCCACGUGUUAAACUUGAAAAUUCGCCACACGUGAGAGAGCGUGUUGAGAAUGAGUCUCACAUUAAUGGGAGGAGGGACAUGCAGCCCACGUCACGCCAAUGUGUUGUUCACGUGUUAGACUUGAAAAUUCGACAUAUGUGAGGGGCGUGUUGAGAAUAAGUCUCACAUUAAUGGGAGGAGAGACAUGACACAAACUUAUAAGAGUUUAGACUACUCCCUAUAUUCCCAAUUGAUAUUAUGGUGGAACCUCAACUUUCUUCGAUAAGAAAUUGAUAUUACUACAAAAUAGUCAUCGACUCUCUUUUUGAUAAAUAAUAACUCACCUUCAUGAAAAUUGCAUCUCCCUUUGGAACACUUACAAACAUGUCUCCUCCAACAUGCUCUUCACCUAUAUCAAACAUCCAUAGAUCUCAUAUUCAUCAGGAAAAAGGAUAAAUAGUACAAACAUAAGCAAUAUUAGAUGAGGAGAAAUCAAACUUGAGAAAGAUCGAGGUAAAGGUGAAUGUUUUUUAAGUAAUUGUACUUCAAACAUUAUCAGAAUUGAAGAACAUACCAGAAUAUUGGGGAACAUCUUCUAUGAUAUGAGGCAAGUCGAAAUUAAUACCCUUAAUCGAGGGGUACUUAGAAAUGAUCAUGUUAACGACAGCGCGGGUGCCACCGCCAACAUCAACAAUGGAUGUGAGGCCCUCAAAGCCUUUGGAGAUCUCAAAAGUUUCUUCAUGGUAAGGGUAGAGUGGUCGGCCAUUCCCCGGUUGAAGGCCUUGUUGAAUCUAGGGUCAGUACCAUGGUACUCGAAAGCAGUCAUUCCAUAGGAUAGGCCUUGUUGAAUAGAAUUCCUCCUUCAAGAACUGCAUCUUUCGAGUGGUACAUGCACAAAACCAAAACAAGCAUACAUGUCAGUCUCACAACCAAAGCAUACACUAUGUGUAAAAUGAUGAACGACACGUCCUUUGAACAGUCAUAUGGUCAUGGCUCAUAUGUGACCCGCUUAACUCACAAGCAUCAAAUGCUAUGGAAAGGGAUUCCUUCCUCCUAAUCCACUAAAUUAGGGAAUUUGUGUCGUUGAAAAUUGAUCCAACGGUUGAAGUUAUUAUAACUUUUAAAGUGAACCCCUAUUUGUAGCCGUUUGAUCAAUUUUUAACGGCACAGAUUUUCUGAUUUGAUGGAUUAGGAGGAAGAGAUCCGGAGAUGAUCCCUUUCCAAAUGUUAUGGGCUUGUUAAAAUAAUUAUUUUAUUAAUGUGAAUUAUGUCAUUUAGCAAAGUAGUUUCCUCUCUUACACUACAAUUUCAUUUUAGGCGUUUUUAUGAAAAUGAUGGAGGAAGGGAUUUAAAUUUCGCCUCUAGAAAAUUUACCUAACUCAUAUCAGCACCUUAUGGAAGAAUAGAAUAGUUAAAACAUAGAGGUAAAGUUCCUAAAAGCAUUAAACGCUAAUCAGGCGAGUGUCUGGGUGAGUUAGACGAGUGCAUUGACAGGUCGAAAUGCAAUUUCUUAAUUUCCAAACUCUUUGAGAUUAAUUGAGGAUGAUGACUAACCGCUUAGCGCCAAGUCGCAUACGAGGCAAUGAGAAUUUUUAGAACAUUCGAAAAAUAUUAUAAGAAAGAAACUUUUUCACAGUGAAACAAUGGUGUUCUUGGUGAAGGGGUACCAGCUUUCCACUCAUUUUGCUUAUGUGGCAAUCCUAAAAUAGGUGAGCAGUCAUCACCAAUCCAUUGUUACCUCCUGACUAGGCCUAUCGGGCCGUUCAAUUUUUAUCCAACGACUACAAACAGUGGGUUCUUCUAAAAGUUAUAAUAAUUAUAACCGUUGGAUAAAAAUUGAACGGCCUGAUGGGCCUAGUCAGGAGGAUCCUCUCCAUCUGCUCAGGAGAGGAUCCUGAUCCAUUGUUACGUAUCUUGUUCGAGUACGACGCAUAUGUCGUCUACUUAUUAUCCUCCCUGAAGAUCAAAGAAAGAAAUAUAUGUCGACUGUUUAUAUCCCAAUCACUCUAAAUAGUCAAAAAGUUAUGCAUCGUCCUCUCGAGUCUUCUGCCUUCCGUUAAAACUGAACUAAUCAUACUGCAAAGUAUUUUAGCUCAAUCACCUUAAAAUGACGAUAACAUUCACCACUUUAUUACCAUUAAAUUUCUAAAUCUGUUUAAUCAUAAAUAUAAAUCUCAAAAUUUAAACACAAACACACCCACUCAAAUUAAACAGCUUAACCGAAGAAUCAUUCAGAACUCUUAAAACUCGGAUAAAAAUGAUCAAUUUCCAAUCAUGUCCGUCCCCACGACCAAAUUGGCCAAAAGUAAUGUGAACAAAAAAGACCAUGUUAGUAAAGGAUAAUGCUAGGUAAAUUAAUUUUUGGGUAAUGCUAAAAAGACUAAAUAUUCAAAUUAAAUUUAGUAAAUUAAAUGACAUAGAAGUUGAUAAUUGGAUUAUCAGUUAAGUGUUAAUUAACGUGCGGGUAAUGUUAGGAAGACUAAAUUUGUAAAAAAGAUUUACAAACUAAAUGAUGUAUCACUAAUAGGAAUGAGCACAUUUACCAACACUUGAGUAAUUUAGUUUACAAAACUUUGUCUAAAAAUUUAGUCUCCCUAACAUUACCUUUAACGUGUUUGUUUUUUAUUAGUAACACAUCAUUUAGUUUACAAAUUUAGUCUAUCUAGUAUUACUCUUAAUUUUUAGACUAAUUUUUUAAAGCAAUAUGAACAAAUUUAAUGAUAACUUACAAAUCCAAACUUUCUUAUCAAAAAGUGCAGUUUUGCUUCGAGAGAUAUUUGUUGAUUUUUCUCUCGAAUUUGUAUGGAGCUGUCAAUUUCUUUAUAAACUAAAUUUAGCCAAUUACUCCCCCUAAACUUUUAUAAUUGACCAAUUUUUCCCUUGAACUUUAAUUUUAUAAUUGCAAAAAAAAUAUUGUUAUCCCUAAUGUAGACAACAUAAUUGUUUUUCUUCUUCUUCUUCUCUUCCGCUAGUUCACUCCGCACACUUUUUGUUUGAAUUUUAAAAUUUAGGGGAAAAUUUUCAAUUAUAAAAGUUCGGGGGGUAAUCGGCUAAAGUUAAACUUAGGGGGUAAAUUGGCCAAUUCUAAAAAUUUAAGGAAGUAAUCGGCAAUAAAAAAUUGACAGCUCUUUACAAAUUCAAGAAGAAGAUCAACCAACGCCUCUUUAUUCAAUACAUGUCGUACUCAAUGGGUUAUAAUUAACGUGAAAGCAUUUCAUAUCAUUCGACUAUGAUAUAUUGUUCGGUUGGAUUUGGAGUGGUAGGUUGGAUCUGUAUAUACAUCACUUCGAGCAUAAGGAUUACCUAGUAAAGUAAUAAGAAAUACAAGAAGAAGUAAAACUCUUCAAUCCAACAUUACAAGGGAGAAUUGGAAAAAAUAUUGAAUUGUUCCUCUGAAGUCCUUGUAGCCGGUGAUAGAGCAUAAUUUACAAUAAGGUCUUCCUUCUUUAUUUAUUUCUCUUAAUUUCUGGUGUUUGAAAAGAUUUAAGUUCAAACUUUUUGUUCAAGCAAUUGUGAAAUGAAACAAAGAGGCUGGAAUGGCAUUGGACAAAUACAAGUGAUAUUUUAUAAAAGAGUAAUUUGCGUAGAACACGUUUAUCGUUAUUGUGAUAUUUCAAUUCAAUAAUGCAAAACAUCUUAAAAAAUUUACACAUAACAUUAUAUAACAAAAAUAAAAUGUCAUGAUAAAUACGUUUACGUAAGUUCUUAUCAAGCAUCAUAUAGUUUCGUAAAGCUCAAAAAGGUAGAUAGUAUAUAAAGAACCAUAUACUUUCGUCAAGCUCAAUAAGGUAGAUAGCAUAUACUAAUUGAGAUGAUGUCAUUGUCAUGGUAUGGUAUCCUGGCUAAUAGAUCUAUGAAGGAAAAUUUAGUAUGAACUCGUAUAACUUCUCUAUACUCGGCUUAACUUUAAACAUGAAAUAUCUUUAUUAUCAUAUUGCAUAAUUACCAUCAAGUAUAAAAUAAAAUUAAUAAUAAAAAAAAUUUAUCAAUAAACUCAUUCUCAAUAAUCAAACCCUAAUCAUUACGUAAUCUUUCUCUUAUGUUCUAUCGUGGAAAAAAUCAUAAGACGCUCUCAUAGAGAAAAACAAGUUUUUUUUUUUUUUUUUACGGAUGAACGGUAAUUUUAAAGUUUUGGAUCCUCCCACUUUUAUCAUUGUCGUCAUCAUACUACCUCCACCACCACCACCACCACCACCACCACCACCACCAACCCUACCACCACCGUCAUCAUCUCCAACAUUACUUGUCACGUCCAUGAAACCUACUUGUACUUCUGCUACUACUGUUGCCAAAACAAAAAACAGCGGCUGAUCAAGAUCAACGGCAAGACAUAAGAAGAGGAGGGAAGAGAGAUGGCAGGUUUUCACUAGUACUGCUAUCUCUUAUACAUGAUAUCAAAACCCUACUUAUUGUAUGAGUAGUGUUUCUCGGACAAAAGGGGGUUAUCCAACUCUUUGGCUCAAGGGGAUCAAGCGUAUCGGUCCAACCAUUUACUACAUCAACCUAGCAAAUCCACGCGUACAUAGCUUUUUCUAAAUUUUUGGCUACCAGCUAUUUCACUUUUAGUUAUCCCUUUUAAUUAAGUAAUGAAAGUUAUUUUCUUUAAUUAACAUGUUCAGAUGUUACUCAUACCUAAUUAGUAGCUAGUCUUGUUGUGUAGCUGUAAACAUGUGAGAGCAUAAUAAUUAUUGCACUUCGUUCCAUUUUGUUUGCAUUGUUGAGUGUUGAUAAUUAAUGAUGCAAUCUUAUUACUAAUUUAUUUAUAUAUUGUGAGAAGAGAUUACAUUUCUCAAUUUCUAACUUCCGUGCAUGACUUUGCUAGCUGUUAUUCCUAGUACUACAAGUCAACCUACAAAAUACGCAUGCAUUUAUAAAACUAGCUAGGGUUUGGUUAAUUUGGUUUGACUCUCGUAGUCUCAUGGCAAUUAUGUUUAAUUAGAUUAAUGAAUUUAAUUAACAUGGAUCUUUACCAAAUUGAUCCGGGUAUUUUCUAAUGUGAAAAAUAAUGAUUGUAAAGAGAAACUUAUAUGUUGAAUUAAGUUUGUGAGGGUAGUUUAGAUAAUAAAUAACGAUUUAAAAAGAUAUUAAUAAUUUAAUUAAAAAUAAUACAAAUCUAAAAAGUAUGUUCUAUGCAGAAAAAAAGUUGGAUAAGCUUCAAAUAAAAUUUCUCAUGCAUAAAAAAAAGAUGUGACUAUUUAAUAAGGAGCAGGUAUGCAUUUUUUCACCUAAGAUGCCCUGAAAGAUCAAAUCAAUUGGUGAGUGGAACCUGUACGUCCAUAUCCGAAAGUUAACCUAAUUUAUAUAAAUGUGGUGGCGUAACUUAGUCUCCAUAAUAAUUCAGGUACUGUAUUGAUUUCUUCGACUCCACUUAAACUGAACAAGUUUGGUUCUCAUGCUUAAUUGGGACAAUAGUCUAGAAGAGUGCUUGGACCAUCAUUCUCACAUACAAGUUGUGUAGGUGAGUUGAUUAUUGCCGUUUGAGAAAUGCUAAGAAGACUAUUUUCUAAGUGAGAUUUUUUGUUAACUUACAAUUUAACGUUAAUUUUUAUGUCAAUAUUAUAAAAUGUGUGUGCAAAAAACAUGAGGUGACAGAAAGUCCAUCAAGAGUCUUACUUUUAAGAUAGCCCCUAUAACAUUUCUCUUUCCUUUUUUAUUUUGUGAAUCUCAUACGCAUGAACAAUUAGAAUCAGUUUCAAAAUUAAUCCUAGCCACACCAAAUUAGGUAAUUCUAUGAAAACUCACAUUUCAAUGAUCCAAACAAAAGUGUUGAACAUUACUACACAUCGAAUAUUACUAUAUCUUAAUGUUUGCUCAAAUUAAUUACUCAAAACAGUAUGAAACAACCAGUUUGUUGAAAAUUGAAAUACAAACUCCAUGAAGUAUUAAGUAGGUGCACAAGCAUGUGGUCUAAUAUCUUAGUUAAUAGAGUUAGAUUUUUAUCUAUAUGCGUGCCAAGUUCGAAGCCCCCAUCUCCUUAAUUAUUGUAAGAGAAAUGCUAAGGAGACUCUCUCAAAAGUAGGAUUCUCCAUAAACUCUCUGCAACCUCAUGUUUAUUACACAAUAUUUUAUAAUGUUGGCACGAAAAUUAACAUUAAAACAUGAGGUAAACAAUUUCAUGUGCGACGUCUAUGCUUCUUUAAAGGUGGAAUGUUUUGAAGAAAUCUCACUCGCGAUCAAUUUUAUUAAUUAACUUUAAAUCUAUCCGUUGAGAGAGUUGAUUACUUAGGUAAAAAAUUGCGCUAGAGCGUUGAUUUUAGGUUAUAAGUGUAUACAAACCUGAAUUCUAUCCAAUGGUUGAUAGACACCCUAAAACAAUCAACCAUAGUGAUAAGUUCAAUCAAAGGUAAAGAAAAUUGAAGAAAUGAGAUUUUGUCAUCGAGUCAAUUCUUUAAGCAAAUCCAAAUAAUAAUGAUCGUAUUAUACCUUAAAUUGAAACCGUAAAAAAAAGUGAUUCUUUACAUGAAUAUCAACCAUUCCCAUAAAUGAUAUCAAAGUUAAAUCAUAUUGAUUGUGGCUGAGAUUUUCUCAAAACGCAAGUUCUUUUACAAAGAAAAAACAUUGUGCAUAGAGAGAAUCUCAAAUUGUCAAUUUGUACAUGAUUGUAAAUCAAAAUUAUUGGUUGGUGCAUGCUCUAAGUAAUGGGAUUUAGCGUCGAGCCGUUAACAACACUGUUAGAGCGAGGCUCACAAUAGCUUCAUUCAUCUGCCCACAAGAUGAUACUCUGAUACGCCCACAAAAAAACUCUCAUAGAUGAUAGGUCUUUAUUUUUUCUUUAUGGCAGUACAGACACUUGUUUUGUCCGUUGUACACCAGGUUUUUUCAUGUUUUACACCCCAUUGCAAGCGUAUGAAUCCAAAUUUAUAACAUACAACGAACAUAAAAUCACUUUCAUAUUACCUUUUUUUUUUUUUUUUUUUUUGUAACAUAUAAACCUAGUUAUGGUGAAAAAUAUACGACCACCAUAUCAAAAUAAAAGCAAUAUGAAUGCAGACGGCAGCAUACCACUGCCAAAGUUAUACUCAAAUCUUCUUAAGAAACUCAAUGACAUAGGUGUUGAAAGCGGAGCAGAUGACGCGGAAACCUUUGAAGCCAGAUCCCUUAGCCAAGGCCUCAAACUCCUUCUCCGUCCGCUCUUUUCCUCCGGGAUUGUGAGCUAACAUGAUCACGUCGAUAUGGACAACUCCCUUGGUGGCAAGGCUGCUGUCUGGAGCUACUGGAAGAAUGCACUCAGCAAGAAUCACCUUCCCAUUGUCAGGGAGCGCGGUAUAACAGUUCUUCAAAAAUUUCAAGCAAUGAUCGUCACUCCAGUCGUGACAUAUAAACUGUAAGAUUGCAUACAUGAUUUGAGAGUAGUUCCAAAUUAUUAUGCAACUAAGCUCUUAUAAGAAAUUGAUAUUAGCACUACAAAAUAGUCAUCGACUCUCUUUUUGAUAAAUAAUAACUAACCUUCAUGAAAAUUGCAUCUCCCUUUGGAACACUUACAAACAUGUCUCCUCCAACAUGCUCCACACCUACAUCCAACAUCCAUAGAUCUCAUAUUCAUUAGGGAAAAUGAUAAGUAGUACAAACAUAAGCAAUAUUAGAGGAGGAGAAAUCGAACUUGAGAAAGAUCGAGGUAAAGGUGAAUGCUUUUAAGUUAUUGAACUACAAGCAUUAUCAAAAAUGAAGAAUAUACCAGGAUAUUGGGGAGCAUCUUCUAUGACAUGAGGCAGGUCGAAGUUAAUACCCUUAAUCGAGGGGUACUUAGAAACGAUCAUGUUAGUAAUAGCGCCAGUGCCACCGCCCACAUCUACGACGGAUGUGAGGCCCUCAAAGCCCUUGUAGGUCUCUAAAAGUUUUUUCAUGGUAAUGGUAGAGUGGGCAGCCAUUCCUCUGUUGAAGACCUUAUUGAAUCUAGGGUCAGUGCCAUGGUACUCAAAAGCAGUCAUUCCAUAGGCCUUGUUGAAUGGAAUUCCUCCUUCAAGAACUGCAUCUUUCAAGUGGUACCUGCACAAACCCAAAACAAGCAUACAUGUCACUCUCACAACCAAAAGCAUAUAGUAUGUGUAAAAUAACGAAACAACACGUCGUUUGAUCAGUCAUAUGGGCAUGGCUCAUAUGUGACCUAGGCCAAGCCACCUACCACGUGUUUCAAUGCCCGCAUAACUCACAAGCAUCAAAUAACAAGGGAUUGUUGACAUAAUUAUUGUAUUGAUGUGGAUUACGUUAUUUAGCAAAGCAGUAUCCUCUUAUAUUCGAGUAUACAGUUUUGUUCCGACGUUCUUAUGAAAAUUAUGGAGGAGGGGAUUUAAAUGACCUCUAACAAAUUGACCUAACUCACAUUCGAACUUUAUGAAAGAAUAAAAUAAUUAAAGUGUCAAACAAUGGAGUCAUACAAAGGAAAAAUGUUAAGAUGUAAUUAGAAUAUCCUCCAUUUUUUUUUCUAACUUGUUUAAAUUAAACAUAUGUUCCUUUACAAAAUUCGAUUGAGAUGUUUUGGUCAAUUGCCAACUAAGCAUUUUUUAAAUUUUUAAUAUAUAUCUACUUAAAGUAGCUAACAACUAAUUUCCUACUAUUUAAAAAAUUUUAAAGUCGUGGCUUUAUUAGAAUUAUCAAUUUAACUAAUUUCUCAAUGUCACUAAAAAAAGAGAAACCUUUUAUUUUUGUUAUUAUAUUUAAUUAGCCUCUUCUUCUAUUUAAAAAAGUCAUUAAUAAUUUUAGAAAAAAAAAACUUCAUUAAUUUGUUAAAAUUUUAGUAAGUUAUAAAAUAAUAUAUUUAAAACUUAUAGUACAUUUUGAAAAUAAACAUAUUGAUUUUUUAUGUUUAGAUUCUAAAUAUACUAAGGAACAAAAUGUACCAUAAAAGCAAAUAUAUCUAUAUUAUAGGUAAUCAAACGUAUCAAUAUAGUCAAUCGUACUUCUGAUAAACUUGUAAAAAAAUUUCGACAGAAAAAAAAACUUGUAAAAAAAUGUUUAAUUAAAAUUUUAAAAUAAAUAAAUAUUUAAUCACCAAAAUUGAAAAACGAGACUUUUUUUUCAAACACCUCAAAGAUUAACAAAAACAGAAACGUUUGACAUUUAAACACCAUGGUAUGGUUGGUGAAGUGAUGAUUUCCACUCCUAAUUUGGUUAAGUGGCAAUCCUAAAACAAGUGGCCCAGUCAUCAUCAAACCGUUGUUCGUAUCUUGUUCGAGUACGACGCUUAUCUCGUCCAUUUAUUAAUCUUACCUGACGAUCAAAGAAAGAAACAAAAAUAUGUCGUCUGUUUUAUGUCGUCUGUUUUAUAUCCCUAUCACUCUAAACAAGUCAACAAGUUUGGCAUCGUCCCCUCGAGUCUUCUGCCUUUCAUUAAGAUUGGACCAAUUACUAUUCUAAAAUGUUAAGGUUGAAUAGCACCGAUAAUAAUACUCACCAUUUUAUUAGAAGAAUUUAAAAUUUUAAAUCUUGUCUAAAAUAAAUAUAAAUUUCAAAACUUAAAUUAAUAAUAAAAUAAUGAGAAACAGCAAGUCAAAUUAAACGGCUUCACAGAAGAAUCUUUCGAAAACUGUGACAAGAAUGAUCAAUUUCCAGUCUUGUCUGUUCCCAACGACAAAAUUUUUAUUGUGACAAGAAAACAAGAAUACAUCACGUAGUAAUAAUUUAUUUUUUACGUUAUUAACUUUUUAACACAUAUAUUUUAUUAUUUGUAUAAUGAUAUGUGAUGUACCAUCUCGUGUGCCGGUUACAUUGAAAAAUCUUUUGUCCCCAACGACCAAAUCAGGAAUAAAAUUUUAAUUGUUACGGGACAUAGAUGGUACAACACGUGUUUUUAUGUAAGUGGUAAAAAAUUUUACUUUUUAAGUUAUUAACUUUUUAACACACAUAUUCAAUUAUUUGUAUAGCGAUACUUGGUGUACCAUCUCGUGUACCGAUCAUAUUGAAAAAUCUUUUCAAAUCGGGCAAAAGUAAUACGAGCAAAGAAGAAAAUAGUUGAGAAAGAGAAUGGUUAAGUAGAAUGUUUUAACCGUGGAAUUACUUACGUAAUCUUCGUCAUAUUAGUUUUUGACAUAAUAUUUUAUAAUAUUAAUAUAAAAAAUGUCAAAAAUUAUGAGAGGACGAAGAGUCUAUGAAGACUUUCUUUAGCAUUUCCCAAAAAGAAAUGUUAAGUAGAGUCUGCACAGACUCUGACAACUUAUGUUUUUUGCAUAAAUUUUAUAAUAUUGGUACGAAAAAUGAAUGGAAAUUGAGGUGGUAAAGAGUUUAUAGAAAAUCUCACUUUGAUAGAAUCUCUGUGUCAUAUCUCUUAGUAGAAAGGAUAAUAUUGGGUAGAUAAACUUUUUAGACAAAAUUUAUAAUUGAUUUGAUGUGUCACCAGUAAAAAUAAACAUGUUAAUCAUCAAGAUAUCAAUAAACACAAUAUAUAGUUUUAAACGAGAAAUGUUAAGACGACUCUCAUUGGACUCUUUGCCACCUUAUGUUUUUUAUAAAAUAUUUUUAUAAUACUGACAAAAAAAUUAACUUUAAACUAUAAAGUGGCAGAGAGUACGUGGAAAGUGUCACUUUAAGAGAGUCCUCUUAGCAUUUCUCUGAUAAAAUAUGUAUUAAAUAGAUAGUAUCUAUAACAUUACUCUACUCUACUAAUAAGGGUAAUGCUAGGAAAUGUUGUAAAUUAAAUGAUAUAGUUGUGAUGAUUGGAUUAUUAUUUAAAUGUUGAUUACCUUUAUUUAUUAUUGAUAAUAUAUAAUUUAAUUUGUAAAUUUAGUUUAACAAAUUAGUCUCCUUAAUAACCUCCUAAAAAUAUAGAUAACAAUCACAUACUCAAGGCCCAACUCACAGUAAGUAACAUUUUUAUGAAUUUAUUCUGAUCAACCUAUUUAAAACCCAUUAUUAAUGUUUGUUUACGAUCAAAUUAGGAUGAUAAAUUAAGAAGAAUGGUAAUUACCAGCUCUCCAUGAGGACCUUGUCCUGAUUCAUGAGGCAGAGAGGAGCAAUGGAAACACCAUCCUCGUUCUUUGUCAAGAACUUGCAGACGGGGCCGAGGCCGUACAGCUGCUCGACAUUGCCGUCGCGAAGCGUGCGGAGGGAGUAAGUGAGGAUGGAGUAGCUGGCCAGGAGGCGCAGCAUGCGGUCCAGCAUGACGGUGGCGUCAGGGUUCUUGGUCGGCAGCUGCGAAGCUAAGUCUGCCGGAGAAACGAAAGCGCCAGGCCCUGCUCUCGCCAUGAUCUCGAGGAGGUCGAGCUCAAGGGCUGCCUUGAGCACCAUGGGGAGAACAGAGGCGCUGGCUAGCUGCAUGGCGAAGAGGUUUGCUUCUUCGUCGGAAACUUGCGUUGGAGUCAUCUGAGUCUCUACGGUCGAACCCAUUUUUUGGAUUUGGUGUUGGAGGGGAGAGAGAGAGAGAGAGAGAGAGAGAGGAAUGAGGGUAGAAGAGAUGGGUGUUCUAACUGGCAAUAUAUAGGGAUUUGUUUGCUCACCCACCGCUUUUGAUGUGGUACCUAGGUGUCGACCACCAUGCAGGACCUCACAUGCCUCGCACAGGUCUUCUCUUUUUAAGGACUGGUUUGGUAUUGCUAUGUUUUAAGAAAAAACUACUUCUGUUAUGCUGUGAUAAUAAGUUCAUUUUUACUGCUUUACGUUUUCAGCUUUUUUUUCAUCCAAAACUGUGAAAAUAAGCUGUUUUUAAGUGUUUACCAAACAUCUUUUUGAGCUCAGUUUUUUUUUUAUACCCACUUUUUAUAAAAACACAUCAGUACCAAACCAGUACUAAGUAUGGCUUUAUACUGUAUUCUUUAUCUGGUUUUGUUUUGUUUUAUUUCUUUUUAGGGAUUCUUAAGACCAAAUCCAACUCGGGGCUAAAUGCUAUUUUUUAGGUUUUAUUCCCCCCAAACCCAACCCAACUCAUGCUAAAUGUGUGGGCUAAAAGCUAAAAGCCAAAUUCCUCCUAGGAUUUAGCCCAGAAAAUGGUGUGGGCACCACCAACGGAAGCUCACCCACAUGGGCAUGUCUCCCAAAAUUUAUUGAAUCAAACGGCUGAGAUCAAAUAUAAUCAAAUCUAAUGGUAAAAAAAAGAUCUAACAACCUAAAUUUAAAUCCAACAGCUAAAAUAAUUUUAAAAAAAUAUUUAACUCAAAAUUCACCCAAAUUUAGUGAUUUUUCAAUAUUUAUCGGAAUUUAAAUAUUUUUAGGUUAAAAUGUUCAAAAAAUUAAAUUAUGAUACAGUACAUAAUUAUUUUAUUUUUUUUAAAAUUAGCCUAAAUUUAUUCUUUAAUAAUCUUAGGCUAAAAAAUUUAGGCCAAAAGGGUUGGAACAGAAAAACUGUUUAUGGGCUAAAACUUAAAUUUUUUGGGCUAAAUUUUUUAUGUUUUAGCCCAAGGGUUGGAGAUAGUCUAAGAGUAUUUAUUCUUAUAUUUAAGGUAGAAAAUUGUUAUAAGCACUUCAAAAAUUUCAUUUGGUACUCUAAACUUUAUAUAAUUAAAAAUAUAUAUAUACUUAUGAUGAGUGUAGAAUGAGAUUUUUGUAGUGCUAAUAAAAAUUCCCUUAAGGUAUUGUGUUUAAUAUUUUUCCCUCUUAGUUUUGUUUUUGAAAAAUAUAUGAACAAACUUAAUGAUAAUUUACAUAUCCAAACUUUGAGGGCAAGUUAGGGCGCAAUAGUAAUGUUGGUCCUUUGUAAUCGGAAAGUUAUAGGUUCGAGUCGUGGAAACAGUCUAUUUACAAAGUAAGAAUAAUAGUGCGUACGAUAAACGUUUAUCACCGCAAAGCGGAAAGUCUUGUUGGCUUGCGGGCCCCUUACAAAUCCAAAACUUUCCUAUCAAAAAGUGUAGUUUACUUCAAUACAAUGUAUACUCGAUGGUUUAAAGUAACGCGAACGCAUUUCACACUAGUACAUCUACUGAUAUAUUGUUCUCCUGGAGUUGGAGUUGGGAGAACUGGAAAAAAGAAGUGAAUUGCUCCUUUUUGAAGUCCUUGUAGCUGGUGAUAGAGCAUAGUUUACAAUAAGGUCGUUGUUAUUUAUUUAUUAUAUGUUAUGGUGUUUGAAAAGUUUUUAAGUCCAAAGUUUUUCUCCCUAGUUGAUCCGGCAAAACAAGUUACUUAAUCCAAGAAUUUUGAAAUGAAACAAAGAGGCUUGAAUGUCAUUGGACAAAAUAUAAAGGCUUUUUAGCCAAAAUGGUCAUUGAGAUCUGCAUAAUACAUCAUUUUGGUCCCUGAGAUUGAAAAUCAAUAGAAAUAGUCCAUGAGAUUGUUCACCAUCCAUUAUUUUUGGUUAUUCCGUUAAAAACUCCGUUAAGUGUCCGAGAGCUCUUGGCCAGAAGUUUGAACAAUUUUAAAAGCUUCGUAACUCAAUCGUUUCUUAACCAAAUUCAACUCAUAAUAUAUCAAAUGAAAAUAAGAAAGUGUAGAACAAGAUUAUACCUAUUUUGAAGCCCAAUGGUUGUAGAAGAUGGCCGGAAAAUAGCCUGAAAUGUGACUGGUCUGUGGAAAAAUUGGAAAACUCGUCGGAAACUGGGUAAACUUUAAACGUUCAUAACUUCUUUAAUACUCAACUAAAUCGAGUGAUUUCAAAAACGAAAAUCAUACUUCUUAACGAGAUGAAGAGAAUGGUACAUUUUUAUACGGAUAAUUCGCCAUGGUUUGACCGAAAAAUGACUCGAAAGUGGCUAAUUCGAGACCAAGACAACCACGUCAAGAAAUGUAUCAUUCUCUUCGUCUCAUCAAGAAGUAUGAUUUUUGUUUUUGAAUCACUUGAUUUCGUUGAGUAUUGAAGAAGUUAUGAACGUUUAAAAUUACCUAGUUUUCGACGAGUUUUCCAAUUUUUCUGCGGACCAGUCACCAUUCAGGCUAUUUUCUGGUUAUCUUCGGCAACCAUUAGGCCUCCAAGUAUGUAUAAUCUUGUUCUACACUUUCUUAUCUUCAUUUUGAUAUAUUAUGGGUCGAAUUUGGUUAAAAACGAUUGAGUUACGAAGCUUUGAAAAUUGCCCAAACUUUCGGCCACGAGCUCAUGAAUACUUAACGGAGUUUUUAACAGAAGGACCAAAAUAAUUGAUGUUGGACAAUCUCAGGGACCAUUUCUAUUGAUUUUCAAUCUCAGGGACCAAAGUGAUGUGUUAUGCAAAUCUUAUGGACCAUUUUGGCUAAAAAGUCAACUAUAAAAUAGCAAUUUGCAUGGAAUGAAUAUAUUGUUAUUGUGCUACUUCAGUUCAAUAAUGUAAUGAAAUACCUAAAAUAAUUUACACUAACAUUAUAUAAUAGAAAUGAAACGUCACGUGAUGAUAAACACGUUCCAUAUAAAUCUUUACAGUAUUCUUGAUCAAGCAUCAUAAGUAUGGUGAUGUUAAUUACCUUAGACAACAACUGUGCCUUCUCCAUAAUAAUUCAGGUAUUGUUCGAUUUCUUGGACUCCAUUUAAGCUGAAAUGGUUUGGUUCUCUUGCUUCAUUGGGACAGUAGUCUAGAAGAGUGCAUGUACCAUCAUUUGCACACAUAAAUUGUGUGGGUGAGUUGAUUAGAGCAGUUUCACUCGACAAAUGCAAUAAUUGUCUAGGUAAUUAUUGUCUAAGUGAAUAGUAAUUAUCUAAGCGUUUUUUUAUUUCGUAAAAUAAAUUGCCCAUGUAGUUGACAUUAAAAAAUUAGUAUAAGUUUGUUUUGUUUCGAAUAAGAUUUUAACAAAUCAUGUCACGUCAUGUGUGAUUAUUCAAAAUUAAAAUUUUUGUGGAAAUAUUUUCGAUUAGAUUUUUAACGAAUCUCAUAGUGCCACGUGUCAUGAUCCUGUAAUUUUAUUUUUUAUAAUUUUUAAUAUUUAUUUGUUGCGUAAUUAAUAUGAACCGUUGGAUUGCAAACCAACCCAUAUUAUGCCGUGUGGGCCAAAUUAGUAAGUGUCUUGUUUUAGAUUUUGCUUUUAUUUUUUUUCUUGAAAAAAAUUGGAUAUAGAAACUUUAUGUAAAUUGAACUGUUGAGGGUUGAGUGUACUUGCAGCGCGGGCCCCAGCGCUGCAGGUUUGGUUAGUUGACUCACCUUAAACUACAUGCGCUUGACACAAAAAAAUAAAAAAUAAAAAAAUAAAAACACACAUAGAACAUUGCUAAUGCCAGUUCCACUUAGGCUUUGAGUUGAGCUAUUCCUGGCCGAUUGAGCAAUCGGGCUCUACUUCCUUCCACUGUAGCUCGACUCAUUGGCCUGGGGUGUGAAGGAUUUUGGAGGUUUUGAGGGAUUUAGUCACCCAACUGCUUGAGCAAUUGAGAAGAGUAGACUUGCUCUUAUUGCCGUUAUUGUUUUGUAAGUCACACUCACACACACACGAUUACAAUCAAUUUCAAAAAUUAAUCUAAAAAAUCCUAUGAAAAUUGAUCACAUUUCAAUGAUCCAAACAGAAAAGGUUAAUAGGUUAAUAAUUUAUGGACAUCAAAUAUACUAUAAUAAUUUCAAUAUCUGCUCAAACUAAUCACUGAUAAAAACUCCAUUAGGUAAGUCGAUAAAUGGUGUUAUUUAAUUGGCUAGGGUUUGACAAACGAAGGGAAUCACCGUCACAUCUCACCUAAUUUUUGAACAUGUUGACGACGGGUCGGAAUUCGGAUGCAGCUCUUGGUGACCAAAACAAAUUGCAAUUCCACCUCUUAGUUGGACCCUUCACUUUUUGUCUGGAAGAAAAGUAAUCUUUCCAGAGAUAAAAAAAUAGGUUCGUGAAAAUUGAGAACCAAAAGAAUUGCAAAGGUCUCCCCUCUUUAACAAAACUUCUUCACCAACCUUGCAAAAGGAUUAAAAAUCUAAGAGAGUAUAGUUGUGCAACGUGUUUAAUUAAAAUAUUUGUUCACCAAUUUAACCUUUCAUUGAUUAGUUUGCGCUUUCCACAGUCCAAUUGAAUAAAGUAGGAUGUGUAUGAUGUUGACUGUUCCACUAAAUACAUUAUUAUCACUGCUAUAAAAUAUAUUUGUUCUCCUGACAUGAACAGUGGAGAUUGCACCAAAGGGUUUUAAAUUUAACUAUUUGAGUAACGUGCAACAUUAUUUAUUCUCCCAGACUAUAAUGUGCUGGAAUCCUUCAUCCACCAUUAUCGUUUGUAAUUUGGUGGCCAAAGCUUCUAACAAAACAUAAUACAAAGAUGUCCAUACCGUUAAUAGGUUUAUGGGGACUGGAUAUGUUAGGUCAUAGUAUCGUUCUCUUUUGAUAUAUACGGUAAUUUUUUUUAAAGCAAUCCUCUGUAAUGGUGAAUAAUCUCUUUUAAAGUCACAAAAAAUUAAUGUCCCAUGUAUGACCAGUUCCCUAUAUUGUAAUAAGUUAUAAUUUUUCUUGAUCCCAUUUUAAGUAAAGACGUCUCCACAUAGUUAUAAAUAAUUGUCAAUGAAUGCAAGAAUAUGCAAAAAUAUAAAAUAAUUGGGGCCCAACAAAUCUUAUUUAGGAAAUACAUAAUAAUGGGAUCGUGGGUCAAGUAUGUUCUUGAACUGAAAGAUUUGAACCUCCGAAUAGCAGCAUUCAUUAAGGAUAAAUAAUAUUUCAGGUAUGUAAUGGAAUAAACUCUAUAUUGUAACAAAUUAUAAUUUUUGUUUGUCUCAUCUUGAGAAAGCACGCAUCUACAUAGUUAUAACUGUCAAUGAUUACAAAAGUAUACAAAAUAUAAAAUACUUGCCGUUCAAAGAAUCCUAUUUAGGAAAUAAACAUUCAUCAAGGAUAAAUAAUUCAAUAAAUAAUGUUUUUAAGUACACCCUCUAUUUAGUAAUAACCUCUCUAAAAUUAUAAAACUGGUUUGGUUCAAACUGUAUAACUUUAAAGAGGUUGUAUUGUGUUGUGUUUACUUACACGCAAAGAAUGAAAAAAAAACAAAUGGAUCUUAUGUUGAAACAAAGUAUGUCGCACAUAAAGAAUCUGAAAUAAAAUUUCAUAUCGGAACAAUCAGGUAUGAUUUUCAAUCAUGACUUCUACUACUCCAAAUACGUAAGUAAUGAUGAAAUAAACAAACAAAAUCCACUCACUAAUCCCUAUCUUGUACACACUUAAACAUGUGUUAAGUAGAUGAUUUUCAAUCAAUCAAUCAUACAAUUUGUAAUUAUGAUCUAGUUUUCUUUUCCUUUCCAGGGAGAUGUGUGCAUGCCCAAUUAAUAGCAAGCAAAUGACGUCAUUCCAUUGCAUGGAUUAUCCAUACCACAAAUGUCAGGCCCCAAUAAUUUUUAAUUUUGGUCUGGGCCAGUUUGGACAUUGAUAAUUCACAAUUUUGGGCCAGCCUAAGUUGUCGUCUGAAAUCUCGUACACUGCCACUAUUCGAUAGAUGCCGGUCCUCCUUUCCAUUUUAAACGAAGUGGUGAUUGCGUCGAGAGCCUAAACGUGACUGUUUAUCCGGAUCAGUUGACGAAAAGAGAUUCAAAAAAUUCAAAAUCCUGGGUGAGAGAAAAUGAGCGAAAUCGGAAUCGAUGUCAAAGAGAUUAAUCUGUCGUCGACGACGCUGUCACGCGAGAAGAAGGGAGAGACAGCCGAGAAAACUCCCCAGAAAGCUCCGUCGUCUUCUUCUGCGGAGGACGAGGACGGGAGUCCAAUCAGGCACAUUGUCUGUGUCAAAAACAAGGUCGAUGUCAAACACUUUGAGGACGUCGAGGACUGCUUCAUCUUGGAUUUCGACCCCUUUGAGCCGGUGCAGUUUUCCAAGUUGUCCGUGUCGGAUAAUGGUGGUGGUGGCGGUUCUCCCGAUGUCACUGUUGUUGCUGAGAAAGGACAGGUUUUGAUUUUUACCGUUGACCCUUUUGAUUUGUUGUGUUAAUUUUCUUUCUUCUGUUUGGUUGCUGGGAAAAUGCAGGUGAAGAAUUGAAUUUGAAAUCAUAACCCCAUGUUACAUAUGACCCCCUUCUAGGGUUUUGCGAAAGAAAGGAAAUUUUUAAUCAAAUUUCUUUCUUUGUUGUUGUGUUUGGUUGCUGGGAAAAUGCAGGUGAACAAAAUGUAUUAGAAAUUGUAACGCCAUUGUGAUAUUUUGCCUAUGAACCUUCAGGUGUUUGACCUCAAAAGAUUUUAAAUUUAUAAGAAACUUUUCUGCUUAUCUGUUCAUAUUCCAAUUUUUGUAAAUUUAUGAGCUAAUUUGGUGAAUGUCUGAUGGCUCGUGUGGAUUUGAAUUGAUGCUGUGUAGGUUGCUUGUAGAGACUAUCCACAUUCAAGACACCUCUGCCUGAAAUUUCCUUUCGAGACGACACCCCAUGAGAGCUACUGUGAGCUGGUAACAGAGUUUUACAACUUCAAAUAUUUGCAUCUUGUGAAUGUAUCCCCGAUUCCCUCUCUAUAUUGUCUAACUUGGCAUCUCAAAAGUGAACUCACUGAUUGUAUGUAGUGCUACUGCUAUGUUUGCGAUUCUUCCGCUCCAUGCGGGUUGUGGAAACUAUCACAUUGCCACGCCGCUGCGCACAUCAGUGACUGGAAGUGCAAAAGGAUGAUGAAACAGCAAGCCACGGUGAAGAAAUGAACAAAGCUCCCGUUGUUUAGCCGUAUUGCGGAUAGCGGUGUAUGAAAAAUACCAGAAAAGUGAACUGUUGUUUUACUAUUAGGCGGUCAAGUUCAUGUAAUUUUGUUCAUAGGGAGGGUACUUGAAAUGGCUUUUGUUCUGACCCGAAGAGAUGUAGUUACUAAUGAACUUACGAUGUUGGUAGAAAUGGAAUCAAAUUUGAUUAGUUCAAUUCGAAUUGAAUUGAAUCUGAUUGUUGUGAAGAAAUCUCACUUGCGGUCAAUUCUUUUAAUUAACUUUAAUUCUAUCUGUUGAGAGAGUUGUUUACUAAGGUAAAAAAUUGCGCUACAACGUUGAUGUUUGAGAAGAGAAUGCUUUAAAUGAUGAUUUUAUUCUUCUCAAUGAGAGGUAUUUAUACAAGGUGUACAACCCUAAUGUAAUCGGAAGAAAACUAAUUACAUGAGAUUACAGGAGAUUACACAUAAUUGAUAUCAUUUAGGAAUCAUACCUAAAAUACAAAGCCAACACUCCCCCUCAAGUUGGUGCAUAUAUGUUACUCAUGCCCAACUUGUGUAAAAAACAUGAAAACUUAUGACUUGAAACAGCUUUCAUGAGGAUAUCUGCCAACUGAUCCUCUGUUCUUAUUGUCGGUAGCUAAAUUAUUUUUUCUUCUGAUUUUUCUUUGAUGAAGAACCGAUCAACUUCAACAUGCUUUGUUCUAUCAUGUUGUACCGGAUUAUGUGUAAUAUACCCAAAUCACAAAGCAGGAGCUUAAGCCAUAGAAUUUCACAAAUCCCCAAGGCCAUACCUCUAUAUUAAGCUUCUGCAAUGGAACAGGCAACCACAUUCUAUUUCUUACUUCUCCAUGUAACCAAGUUGUCCCCAACGAAUGUAAGGUAACCUCAUGUUGAGCCUCUAUCGUCAAUCGAACCUGCCCAAUCUGCAUCAAUAUAACAUUAAACUCUAAUAUGAUUAUUCCUUUUAAACAAAAUUCAUUUGCUGGACUUCCUUUCAAAUAUCUCAAAAUUCUCAUCACUGUAUUCAUAUGUUGUUCUUCGGGAUCAUGCAUGUAUUGACUUACUACACUUAAGGCAUAAGCAAGGUCCGGUCUUGUGUGUGCCAAGUACAUUAAACGACCUACUUUUGGUAUCUCCCUUUGUCAACUGGUACUUGAUUAGGAUCAACACUAAGCUUCAAUCAUUCAUCUAAUGGUGUAGCUACUAGUUGACAAGCUGACAUGCUGGUUUCGUGCAACAAAUCAAUAAUAUACUUCCUCUGUGAUAAGAAAAUUCCCGAACUGCUUCUCGAUCCUCAAUCCCCAUAUAAUAUUUCAAGGAUCCAAGGUCCGUCAUCUCAAAUUCUGUAGACAAAUAUCUUUGCAAGGCCGCACGUUCUUCUGGGUCAUUACCUAUUACCAACAUAUGAUCUACAUACAUAAUAAGUGCAGUAAGUUUUCCAUUUCGUCUUUUCAGGAACAUAGUAUGAUCGGAGUUACUUUGUUUGUAGCCAAAUGCUUUCACAGAUUUUUUGAAUUUUCCAAACCAUGCCUGAGGGGAUUGCUUAAAACCAUAUAAGGAUUUCUUCAACCUACACACUUUUCUUUUGUAUUUAUCUGGAGCAUUACAUCCUGGUAGAAGAUCCAUAUAAAUCUUUUCGGUUAAGUCUCCAUGCAAGAAAGCGUUCUUCACAUUGAACUGUUGUAAGGGUCAAUUAAGAUUUGCAGCCAAUGACAACAAAACACGAACUGUGUUGAUCUUGGCUAUAGGUGCAAAUGUAUAUGUGUAGUCGAUUCCAUAUUUUUUAGUGUAUCCUUUUGCUACCAGUCUUGCCUUGAAACGAUCCAUUGUCCCAUCUGCUUUGUAUUUCACAGUAUAAACCCAUUUGUAUCCCACAGGGUUCUUGCCAGCUAGCAAAUAUGUGAUCUCACAGGUAGAAUUCUUCUUCAAAGACUUCAACUCAUCAUUCAUUGCUGCUUUCCAACGUGCAUCAGCUAAAGCUUCCUGCACAUUGUUAGGAACAGAUACAAUAGAUAAUUGAUGCACAAACGACUUAUUUGAUUCUGAUAGGUGACUGAUAGACACGUAAGUACUUAACAUGUAUAACACAUUAGACUCAGGGUUGGGGUUACUCACCAGAUACCUAGUUUUACAUUUAGGGUCGGCUUCAUAAGUAAGUUUAGGAAUACCUUGAUUGAUGCGAUCAGGGAAACGACGUGGUGGUGGUGCAUCCAAGAUCGAAGACGAUUGAUUAUGGUUAUUGGGACGCAAGAUCCACUAUGAGGUAACUGGUGACACAGGUCCUGUAGUGAGGAAACUGGCAGUGAGCUAUCAGGCAGUGAGUUAUCUGGCGAUGUCGACUUGUCCCUUUCAAGGUUUUCAACAUUGUUUCCAUGUGAAAGAUCACUACUUGUCUCCCAGACAUUACCACUUAAUUCCAAGUCAUUCACAUCAUUGUUUUCGUGUGAAUGAUCACCACUUAUUUCCAAGACAUCACCACUUAAAUCCAAAUCAUUUACUCUAUCUAUAUCUGGAAUAGUAUAACAAGAGUUUGAACUUCUUUCUGAUUCUCCUCUCGAAGUGAAGACUCGGGAUUGGUAAAGUACAUAUCAUUCUCAUGAAACGCAACAUCCAUAGUGACAAACAACUUAUUCGUCGGAGGGUGAUAACAACGGUAUCCCUUAUGCCUUGAUGCAUACCCCAGAAACACACAUCAUAAAGCCUGAGGUUCAAGCUUACUUCGUUGUUGUUUGUGAAGAUGAACGAAAGCCACACAACCAAACACAUGAGGUGGAAGACUAGGGACUGUAGAAGCAUCAACAUGUCAAGAAAGUGCCUAAAAGGGUGUUUGAAAAUCUACAGAUCGGGAUGGAACACGAUUAAUGAGAUACGCAGCUGAGGUGAGAGCUUCUCCCCAAUAGGAUAACGGAAGACACGCCUCAAGUAAAAAAGCAUGAACAACCUCCAGAAGCUGACGGUUCUUGCGUUCAGCAACCCCAUUUUGUUGUGGAGUAUAUAGACAUGUAGUUUGAUGAACAAUCCCAUGAUGAUCAAAAAAGGCACGAAGUUCAGAGUUGACAUAUUCACCACCAUUAUCACUCCUGAGAAUUUGUAUUUGUGACUUAUAUUGUACUUGUACCAUUUUGUAAAACUGCUGAAAUAAAGAAGUAACUUCACUUUUGGAUUUCAUCAAACAAACCCAAGUCAUACGUGUGCAGUCAUCAAUAAAAGUAACGAACCAAUGAAUACCACCAAAUGUAACAGUUUUAGAUGGACCCCAAACAUUAAAAUGAAUUAUCAUAAAUGGAAUAGAACUUUUAUUCAAAUUGGAUGGAAACGAAGCACGAUGACUUUUAGCUAGUUCACAAACCCCACAUUUAAAGCUAGAAACAUCAUGCUUAACAAAUAGGCUAGGAAACAACCUCCAUAAAUAGCCAAAAGAAGCAUGUCCAAGUCGACGAUGCCACAACCAAAUCUUUGAAGCUUUAUUCCUAUCCCCUUGAUUUCCUUCCACUGCAAAAGCUUGAGUCAACAUGCAAGAAUUGUUUGAUGUCAGCUCCAAGUAGUAGAGCUUCCCCUUCCUAAUACCAUAACCAGUCGUCUUGCGAGUCCGAAUGUCUUUAAAAACACAAAAGGAAGGCCAAAAAAAUCACAAGACAAUGUAGGGCGACAAUUAUUUGAGCAACAAAUAAUAAAUUAUAGUCAAGAGAAGGAAUAACGAGUACAUAAUCAAAAAUUCAGGGUAUUAGAAAGUGAGACAUCACCUUCUCCGAUAAUGGGGGCAACAUUACCAUUGGCGACACUCACGACAGUUUUGGGGGAUGGUUUUAGGGUUUGUACCUGUCUAUAAUCACAAGUCAUAUGUUCAAUAGCACCCGAAUCAAUUAUCCAUGUAUUAUUCGUAACAGAUGCAAAAACUUUUAAAGCCUUACCAUCAUUACCUGUAUCAUUAAGAAAGGCUGACACUUUCUCGGCUAUAUAUUCAGAAUGAUCUUAGCUUCGGUAAUCGAGGCCAUUCCAAAAUAGUUAUAAUCAGUAUGCGAGUCCUUGAUUGAUGCAGCCUAGACCUCCAAGCAAACUGAGCCCAAGAAACCAAUCAGUAUGGGCCAACAAGGUAGCCCACCAACGACAGAACAAGAAAGAGACCAAUUUACAAAUAAAGCUGAUUUUUUUCGUUUUCUUUUUAUUUUUUCCUUUUUUUCUCUUCUUCUUCUUUUUUUCUUUUUUUUUUCUCUUCUUUUUUUUCUUUCCUUUUUUUUUCUUUUAAAACAAUACAAAACUUAAAUAAAAGCUGGUGCGGGUCUGCAGUCUUGAAGCAGCAGGGGUUGUCUGGAUUUUUUUAUUGCAGCAGCGAUCUCAGGUAAGUUCGCAGGUUAGGCUCUCCGGCGUGAUGCGGAUGAGUCAACGAAUUUCUUCAGGCGAGUUCAACGGAUUUCGGACAGCAGUAGGUCGUGGAUCAGGAUUUUUUUUUUCUUCCGGGUUUCAGUCGAAGACGGAUUGGACACGCAGAGAUGCCUUAAAUUUGAAACCGUAAAAAAUAGUGAUUCUUUGAUGAAUAUCAACCAUUCCCAUAAAUGAGAUCAAAGUUAAAUAAUAUUAAUUGUGACAGUGACAGAGAUUUUCUCAAAACUCAAGUUUUUUCACGAAGAAAAAACAUUGCAUAGAGAGAAUCUCAAAUUGUCAAUUUGUACGUGUAAUUGUAAAAUCAAAAUUAUGGGUUGGUGCAAGCUCUAAGUAAUUUGUCCGUCGUACACCAGGUUUUUUCAUGUUUUACACCCCAUUGCAAGCGUAUCCAAAUUUAUAACAUACAACGAACAUAAAAUCACUUUCUUAUUACUUUUUUAUUUAUUUGUAACAUAUAAACCUAGUUAUGGUGAAAAAUAUGCUACCACCCUAUCAAAAUAAAAGCAAUAUGAAUGCAGACGGCAGCAUACCACUGCCAAAGUUAUACUCAAAUUUUCUUAAGAAACUCAAUGGCAUAGAUGUGGAAAGCGGAGCAGAUGACGCGGAAGCCUUUGAAUCCAGAUCCCAUAGCCAAGGCCUCAAACUCCUUCUCCGUCCGCUCUUUUCCUCCGGGGUUGUAACCUAACAUGAUCACGUCGAGAUUGACAACUACCUUGGUGGCAAGGCUGCUGUCUGGAGCUACUGGAAGAAUGCUCUCAACAAGAAUCACCUUCCCAUUGUCAGGGAGCGCGGUAUAACAAUUCUUCAAAAAUUUCAAGCAAUGAUCGUCACUCCAGUCGUGACAUAUCGACUGCAAGAUUGCAUACAUGAUUUGAGAGUAGUUCCAAAUUAUUAUGCAACUAAGCUCUUAUAAGAAAUUGAUAUUACCACUACAAAAUAGUCAUUGACUCUCUUUUUCAUAAAAAAUAACUAACCUUCAUGAAAAUUGCAUCUCCCUUGGGAACACUUACAAACAUGUCUCCUCCAACAUGCUCCACACCUACAUCCAACAUCCAUAGAUCUCAUAUUCAUUAGGAAAAAUGAUAAAUAGUACAAACAUAAGCAAUAUUAGAGGAGGAGAAAUUGAACUUGAGAAAGGUCGAGGUAAAGGUAAAUGCUUUUAAGUAAUUGAACUACAACCAUUAUCAGAAACGAAGAACAUACCAAGAAAUUGGGGAGCAUCUUCUAUGACAUGAGGCAAGUCGAAGUUGAUACCCUUAAUUGAGGGGUACUUAGAAACGAUCAUGUUAACAACAGCGCCAGUGCCACCGCCAACAUCUACGACGGAUGUGAGGCCCUCAAAGCCCUUGUAGGUCUCUAGAAGUUUUUUCAUGAUAAUUGUAGACUGGGCAGCCAUUCCCCUGUUGAAGACCUUGUUGAAUCUAGGGUCAGUGCCAUGGUACUCAAAAGCAGUCAUUCCAUAGGCCUUGUUGAAUGGAAUUCCUCCUUCAAGAACUGCAUCUUUCAAGUGGUACCUGCACAAACCCAAAACAAGCAUGCAUGUUACUCUCACAACUAAAAGCAUAUAGGAUGUGUAAAAUAACGAAACACCACGUCGUUUGAUCAGUCAUAUGGGCAUGGCUCAUAUGUGACCUAGGCCAAGCCAUCUACCACGUGUUUCAAUGCCCGCAUAACUCACAAGCAUCAAAUAAUAAGGAAUUAUUGACAUAAUUCUUGUAUUGAUGUGGAUUACGCUAUUUAGCAAGGCGGUAUCCUCUAUGUUCGAGUAUACAAUUUUAUUCCGAUUUUCUUAUGAAAAUGAGUGAGGGGAUUUAUGGAAGAAUAGAAUAAUUAAAGUGUUAAACAAUGGAGUCAUACAAAGGAAAAAUAUUAAGAUGUAAUUAGAUUAUCCUACAUUUUUUUUCUAACUUGUUUAAAUUAAACAUAUGUUCCUUUACAAAAUUCCUAAAACUGUACAAGAAUGAUCAAUUUCCAAUCUUGUCUGUCCCCAACGACCAAAUCGGGCAAAAGUAAUAUGAACAAAGAAGAAAAAACAGUAGAGAAUGAUAGAGAGAAAGGUUAAGUGGACUCUUUUACAGUGGAAUUUCUUAUGGACUCUUCAUCAUAUUAUUUUUUGACACAAUAUUUUAUAAUAUUGGUAUAAAAAAUGUGCCAAAAAUAUGAGAGACAGAGAGUCUAUGAAAAGUCUCCUUAGCAUUUCCCAAAAAGAAAUGUUAAGCAGACUCUCCACGAACUGUCUGACAACUUAUGUUUUUAGCAUAAAUUUUAUAAUAUUGGUACAAAAAAUGAAUGGAAAUUGAGGUGGUAGAGAGCUUAUAGAAAGUAUCAUUUUGAUAGAAUCUCCGUCUCAUAUCUCUUAGAGCAACUCUAGCGGAUGCUGGUUGCUUGGGCGACAGGGGAGGAGAAAGGGCCUGAGGGCCGGUGGGAGCAGCUCCAGCGGGGAAGGGCCCGAGUGAGGGUGGGAGCCCGAGCGAAGGGGGGGUGGGGAGUCGAAGGGCCUGUGGCCCGAGGGCUUUGCAAUUUUUUAUUUUUUUUGUGUCAGAGAGAGAGAGAGAGAGAGAGAGAGAGAGAGAGAGAGUUUUUUAUUAUUUAAACAAACAAAAAAAACUAUUAUUUUAAUUGCUUAUUGCCAGGGGGAGGGUUCUAAGGGUGGAGAUGUAAAUGACAAUUAUUGUUCAUUAAUGGUAGUUACUAUUCAUUUAAGGCAGUUACUGUUUAAUAGGGUGGAUUGAAUAGUGGAUUGCCAGGGGGAAGGGCUCCAUGAGUGGAAUUGCUCUUAGUACAAAGGAUAAUGUUGGGUAGAUUAACUUUUUAGACAAAAUUUGUAACUGAUUUGACGUGUCAUCAAUAAAAAUAAACAUGUUAAUGAAAAUAUCAAUAAACACAUUAUAUAGUUUAUAAAAUGAGAAAUGUUAAGGCAACUCUCAAUGGACUCUCUGACAUCUCAUGUUUUUUUACAAAAUGUUUUAUGAUGCUGAUAAGAAAAUUAACAUUAAAUUGUAAAGUGGCAGAGAGUCUAUGGAAAGUGUCACUUUGAGAUAGUCAUCUUAGCAUUUCUCUUAUAAAAUAUGUAUUAAAUAGAUAGUCUACAUAACAUUACUCUACUCUACUAAUAAGGGUAAUGCUAGAGAUACUAAAAAUUUAAACUAAAUGUUGUAAAUUAAAUGAUAUAGUUGUAAUGAUUGGAUUAUUAUUUAAAUGUUGAUUAACUUUAUUUGUUAUUGAUAGCACAUAAUUUAAUUUGCAAAUUUAGUUUAACAAAUUAGUCUAUUUAAUAACCCCCUAAAAAUAUAGAAAACAAUCACAUACUCAAGGCCCAACUCACAGUUAGUAACAUUUUUAUGAUUUUAUUCUGAUGAACCUGUUUAAAACCCAUAUUAAUGUUUGUUUAGGAUCAAAUUAUGAUGAUAAAUUAAGAAGAAGAGUGGUAAUUACCAGCUCUCCAUAAGGACCUUGUCCUGACUCAUGAGGCAGAGAGGAGCAAUGGAAACACCAUCCUCGUUCUUUGUCAAGAACUUGCAGACGGGGCCGAGGCCGUACAGCCGCUCGACAUUGCCGUCAGGUAGCGUGCGGAGGGAGUGAGUGAGGAUGGAGUAGCUGGCCAGGAGGCGCAGCAUGCGGUCCAGCAUGACGGGGGCGUCAGGGUUCUUGGUUGGCAGCUGCGAAGCUAAGUCUGCCGGAGAAACGAAAGCGCCAGGCCCGACUUUCGCCAUGAUCUCGAGGAGGUCGAGCUCGAGGGCUGUCUUGAGCACCAUGGGGAGAACGGGGGCGUUGGCUAGCUGCAUGGCGAAGAGGUUUGUUUCUUGGUCGGAGACUUGGGUUGGAGUCAUCUGAGUCUCUCCGGUCGAACCCAUUUUUUGGAUUUGAUGUUGGUAGAGAGAGAGAGAGAGAGAGAGAGAGAGAGAGAGAGAGAGAGAGAGAGAGAGAGAGGAGAGGAGGAGGAGGAAUGAGGGUAGAAGAGAUGGGCGUGCUAACUGGCAAUAUAUAGGGAUUUGUUUACUCACCCACCUCUUUGCCUCGUUUACUAAUCCGUAAUCAGAUUAAGAGAAAUUGAAUUAAGAAGGAAUUGAAAUGAGGUGAAAUUAGAAUCAAAUUCAUUUUAAAAACGUUUACUAAAAUUGGCUGAAAUCGGAGUAUAAAUGAUAUUGAUAUAUAUAAAUUGUUUACUAAUUCACAUGAAUCAUAAUAAAAAUUAAUAUGAUUACUAAAAUACCCUUAUUGUAAUUAAUUUAUUUUAUAUCUAAUUAUUUUUAGUAAAACUAAUAUUCUUUCAUUUUCAAUAGAGAGAAUCACUUUUUUUUUCUAGUAACUUUUAUUCUUUCAUUGGUCCUUACCAGUUACCAACAUAAAAUAAACUCCAAGAAAAAAAAUAUAUCACUCCAUGUCUUCUCUCUUCCCCAUCUCUCUGCUGCCGUGCCGACCCAUCCAUUUCUAAAUUUCCCAGGCACAUCUCUCUCUCUCUCUUCCCCUAUCUUCCCCAUCUUUCUUUGCUAACCCACCCCUUUCUAAAAUUCCCCAAGCAUCUCUCUCGUCCCUAUCUUUAUAUGCUGCCAACCCACCCCUGAUCGCGAGACCACCAUCUUUCCUUUUCUUUGGUCUUCGUCGGGAACGCGAGCCUUGUCAAGCAAGGGCUUGAAGGCAGCACUUAUGGCCACACAAUUGCAACGGCUGCAAACAUUGACAUCGUUCUCAUCUUUGGAGUUUGAGGGUAUUACUGGUAUAAAAUUUGGAUUCCUGAUGGACACCAUUUCCAGGAAUUCAAAUACCUCCUCCCACUCAAGAAUUGGACUCCGACCAUUUCAGGAGUUGAAUUCCUGAUUUUAUGCGGGUCCCAUAAUUAUUUUAAUUCCUAAUGGUUUGGUAACCGCUGGAAUGGUUGGGGAUAUGUGCAAUUCCGGUUCCCACCAUCCCAUUCCCCUUUGGUAAACAUGCCCUUGAUGUGGUACCAAGUUGUCCCGGAAAAGGAUCCUCUCCUGAGCUCAGGAUGGGGAUCUUCCUGACUAGCCCAUCUGGGCCUUUCAAAUUUAAUCCAACGAUUCCAAACAGGGGGACCUUCUAAAAGUUAUAAUAAUUGCAACCGUUGAAUUAAAUUUGAAUGGCCCAGAUGCCCUGGUCAGGAGGAUCCCCAUCCUAAGCUCAAGAGAGGAUCCUCUUCCCAAGUUGUGAACCACCGUGCAGGACCCCACAUGCCUCCCACAUGUCUUACCUUUUAAGUCUAGCUUUAUAUUGUACUCUUUAUCUGGUUUUGUUUUGUUUUAUUUCCUUUUAGGGAUCCUUAAGAGUAUUUAUACUUAUAUUUCAGACAAAAAAAAUUGUUAUAAUAUUUUUCUAUAAUUAAAAAGAAAAAUACACUUAAGAGGAGUGUAGAAUGAGAUUUUUGGUGUGCUAAUAAAAUUCUCUUAAGGUAUUGUGUUUAAUAUUUUUCCCUCUUAGUUUUGUUUUUGAAAAAUAUAUGAACAAACUUAAUGAUAAUAUACAUAUCCAAACUUUGAGGGCGAGUCAGGGCGCAAUAGAAAUGUUGGUCAUUUGUAACCGGAAAGUCGAUGGGUUUGAGUCAUGAAAACAACCUCUUUACAAAGUAAGAAUAAUAGUGCGUACGAUAAACGUUUAUCACCGCAAAGCAGAAAGUCUUGUGGGCUUGUAGGCUCUUUACAAAUCCAAAACUUUCCUAUCAAAAAGUGUAGUUUUCUUCAAUACAAUGUUAUACUCGAUGGUUUAAAUUAACACGAACGCAUUUCACACCAGUACGUCUACUGAUAUAUUGUUCUCGUGGAGUUGGAGUUGGGAGAACUGGAAAAAAAAAAUAAUGAAUUGCUCCUUUUUGAAGUCCUUGUAGCUGGUGAUAGAGCAUAGUUUACAAUAAGGUCGUUGUUAUUUAUUUAUUAUAUGUUAUGGUGUUUGAAAAGUUUUUUAAGUCCAAAGUUUUUCUCCCUAGUUGAACCGGCAAAACAAGUUACUUAAUCUAAGCAAUUGUGAAAUGAAACAAAGAGGCUGGAAUGGCAUUGGACAAACUAUAAAAGAGCAAUUUGCAUGGAACGAAUUUAUUGUUAUUGUGUUGCUUCAGUUCAAUAAUGUAAUAAAAUGUCUAAAAUAAUUUACACUAACAUUAUAUAAUAAAAAUGAAACGUCAUGUGAUAAACAUAUUCCAUAUAAAUCCUUACAGUGUUCUUGAUCAAGCAUCAGAUUUUCGUCAAGCUCAAAAGAUAAUUUACUAAAUUGAGAUGAUGCCAUUGCCAUCGUUUGUGUUAUCCUGACUAAUCCAUGAAAGGGAUCGGUUCUCUUGGCAAUUUACAAAUAGCAAACAAAAAAUAAAAAAUAAAAUAUGUGACAAUUAUUGUAGUCCUAUUAGAUUUGAAUGUGAUUGUGUAAAUCCUAGUGUAUCUAGGGAUAUCUUGAAAUAUUCUGUAGGGUUAUAUAUUAUCCUGUUAGAGUUGUAAUCCUAUUGGGGUAAGGAAUUUACAUUCCCUACUACUAUAAAUAAAGACACAAUAGGGUGGAAUAUAACACACCUCACAAUUACACAUCUCUCUUUUCUCUUUCUAUGCCGCACUCUCUCUUUCUAGCCUCCAUAACUUUUCAAUAAAUUAUGCCUACAACACGUUAUCAGCACACUCUUGACGCUAAGCUUUUUCUUGAAUUGAUCUACAUGCUAUUGAUUUAAUUUUUCUUUGGUGUACGUGAUACAACGGAUUGGAGAUGCAAUUCAAGCCCGGCUUUCGCCAUGAUCUUGAGGAGGUCGAGCUCGAGCUCGAGGGCUGCCUUGAGCACCAUGGGGGGAACGGUGGCGGAGGCUAGCAGCAUGGCAAAGAGGUUGGUUUCUUCGUUGGAGACUUGGUUGGAGUCAUCUGAGUCUCUCCGAUCGAACCCAUUUGUUCGAUUUGGUGUUGGUGGGGAGAGAGAGAGGAGAGGAGAGGAGGACUGAAAGUGGAAGAGAUGGUUGUAAUAAUGGGUGUACUAACCGGCAAUAUAUAGGGAUUUGUUUGCUCACCCAAAACCAUUGAGGUGGUAUCAAUGUUUUGUAAUGUUGUUACAAAAAUUGAUUUUAAAUUAUCGAGAGUUCACAAGAGUCCUACUGUUCUAAGUUCUUUUAGCAUUCAUGGAUACGAGAAAUGUAUGAUUUUGUCCCUUGUAAUAUCGUUUUUAAAAAAGAAAUAUAAACAAAUUUAAUGAUAAUUUACAAAUCCAAAAUUUCUUAUAAAAAAAAUUGAAGCUUUUCUUCAAUACAAGGUUAUACUCGAUAGUUUAAAUUAACACAAACGCAUUUCACAUGGUUCGACUAAUAUAUUGUUCUCUGUGUACGUCACCACUUCCAUUACCUAUUAAAGUAAGAAGGAAUACAACAAAAUGUCAACCUUUCAAACCAAUGGCGAACGAACUAAGAAAAGUCUCUCUGCCGAAUACAACAUGACAAUUAUGUAAUGAAGCCCUUGUAGCAGGUGAUGGAGUCCUUGUUAUUUGUUUAGUUAUUCAUUAUUUAGAUGGUGUUUGAAAAGAUUUCUCUUAGUUGAUCCGGCAAAACAAGUUAAAUUAUGUAACAAAAAAAUAGUACUCUUAGGGGGCGUUUGUUGCGCCGGACUGUCUCGGACUGGACUAGCUGCAGGGACUAAGCUGGACUGGCUUAGACUAGACUAAGCUGGACUAACUUAGUGAAGCGUUUGGUGCAGUGUCGGACUAAGAAGCAGGAUAAUAAAAACAGUACUGUUCAUCAGAUUUGUGUUUGCUUACACUAGAACUACAAAUUUUUGCCAUUGUGUAAUAAAGUAAUGCUACAAAUGUCAUGAGAAGAUACUUGUGUAAUAGAGUAAUCCUAAACUUUAUGCAAUAAAAUCGAACAUUAACUAAUGAUAGUUUUCUUGGAUUAUAGAGUUUAAGAAAACGGAACUCAUAUUAGAUAUUUGUCUGAAGCAAGUAAAAUUGCCAUAGAAAAUGUCACUUAAGUUCUUCACGUGCAUGAUAUAUGGUGUUCUGGUUCUCUGUUGGGUGAAGAUGACUAGGAUCCAAUGGUGGUAGGGUUUUGAAGGAAGGGGAAACGUGAGUACUAAUACUUUGGUUUCAAGAAUCCUCCAAGUGUACCCAACAAACCUUGCUCAAAAGAAAAGAAAAUAGAAAAGCAUGGUAAUUAAACAGGCUAUAAGGGGCCGUCUCUUUUUCCAUGUGGCAUAAUUCAUAGCUGACUAGAUUAACAAGCAAGAGCAAGUACAUAAGAAGAUCUCCAUAAUUUACAAAAUACCAGUGAACUAUAGUAUACCAUUCAAAAGUAGAUCUCCAUAAUUUACAAACUCGUAGUUAACAUUAGCCAAAAUACUUCAUAGUGGAAAGCUAAGUUAUAAGUCAUAACCUAAGAUUGUACGAUUAAUAAAAUACAUUCAUAUCAAAAGACACCACAUAAUAUACUCAUCCGCUUGCUUUGUCGCUUAAAAGCCUUUGGACAAACACUUUCUUGAGUUCCGGUUUGAUUGCCCUGAACACUCCCACAUUUUUUGGUUUAUCCAAAAUAAGAGACAAUGCAUCAAUUUGAUCCAUAGGAGAAAGACCCAUUUCUUCAAGUUCGUUAGCUAUGUCACUAUGAUCUGCAGUACCUUGAACUAAAGCUUCAGUUACCAUUUGCAUCCUCUUCCCACUUUCAACAUAAAAUUCUUUCAGUCCACUGAUAAUUGCCUCGGUUCCAUCACUUGAACUUCCCACACCUCUUUUCCUCUUUCGUUGGCUAUUUUCAGAUGGGAUGCUUUGUUGGCUUUGUUCGUUCAUUGAAGAAACAAAAUUUUCACCUCCAAUAUCACUUGCACCAACUCACACUCACACUCACACACAAACACAGUCACACACACACACACACACGGGGACAGAAUGCAACACACUCUUACCCUCACACACACACUCCGUUUUUAUACUAACACACACACACACACUCACACACACAAACACAGUCACACACACACACACACUCACACUCACACACACACACUCUCACACUCACACUUACACUCACACUCACACACAAACACAGUCACACACACACACACACGGGGACAAAGUGCAACACACUCUUACCCUCACACACACACUCUGUUUUUAUACUCACACACACACACACACACACACACACACACACACACACACACACACACACACACACACACACACACAAACACAGUCACACACACACACACACACACACGGACAGAGUGCAACACACUCAUACACUCACACUCACACCCACACAGGUUACACACACACAAACACACUCACACACACACACACUCACAUACACACACAUACACGGACAGAUUACACACACACACUCACACACACAUUUUACACACACAACUCACACACACAUAUUUUAUACACACAGGUUACACACACAUACACACAAACACAGAUUACACACACACACACACGGACAGAUUACACACACAUUUUACACACACAACUCACACACAGGUUACACACACAACUCACACACACACACACACAGAUUACACAGGUUACACACAGAUUACACACACACACACGGAUAGAUUACACACACAUUUUACACACACAACUCACACACAGGUUACACACACAACUCACACACACACACACACAGAUUACAGAGAUUACACACACACACACACACACACAAACACACUCACACACACACAAACACACAGACAAAUUACACACAGUACACACAAACACACACACAGAGAGCACACACCUGAGACUAAUCUCAAUUUCAUCUUAUGAAAACCCCAAAUUCUAAUCUCAAUUUCACCUAAAUAUCAAAACCCUAAUUUGUUCAAUUGCAAAUCCACUUGUACAUUAUGAAUUUCUCAAACCCAAAACAACAAAAUCAAAUAAACCUCAGUUAAUAUCACAAACAAAUCCACACAAAUCGACGAAAAAAAUCGAAGAUUCGAAGCUUACCAACUUGAGGCAGAUGACAGUGACCAGAUGCUGUAAGGACGACGAUGAGCGUGAGAACGAUGUGGGAGCACGGCAAGGACGACGACGAGGGCAGACGCAGAGAUGAGGACGAUGUGGGAUGUGGGAUGUGGGAUGUGGGAAGACGCAGAAAAUCUGUCGAUGGUUUCUCUGGCUUACGAGUCCGCCCGAAAUUGGGAUCCCUCGUGAAGAACGGCUAAGCCCCCCCCUUAGUCCUAGCGAAUCCCACCUAAGCUCAUUAAAGCUAAUCCCGGUGCCCACCAAACACCGGACUAUAGUCUAGUCCAGUCCAGUCCCAGCGAAUCCUGUCAAAUAAACGUGCCCUUAUAAUCUAGUUAUACUAUUAUUUGUAUCAUCUUUCUAAUAGAGAUUGAGCCUACAUGAGUUGACGGGUUAGAGAUAUGGUACAAAUGAUGAUACAAGUAGGUGAUAAGUGUAGCAUUACUCGUAUGUAAACACCAUUCACUUAUGCAUUCUAAGUUGUUGGAUGGAGAAGCGGUUAAGAUAACUUCAAAUUAUUAAGGAUAUUGUCAUUUUUAUUGUGAUAAUUAUCUAUUAACAAUUUAUUGAAAUUAUCCUGACAUUUGCCUAUGCAAGAUAAAGAAUUUUAACAAAAAAAUUUUGGUAUUGUUCAAUUUAACGAAAAACCAUAUUUUUACAGUAAAAAGUCAAUCCUGGUAAUAUUCACAUUACUCUUUAUUUUGUCUUUAUCGUUAAAACGCAAAGUUUUCAAAUCGUUUUUAUUAGUUUUCCUUUAAAAAAAAAAAAAAGUGGAGGAGCUGUGAGUUGAUAUUAGCAUGUGCUCUUAUUCCAUAAUCCGUGUCACAUCAAAUUAAAUAGUUCUAGGAAAAUUCACAUUUCAAUGAUCCAGAGAAAAGGUUGAACAUUUCUAGACAUCAAAUAUUACUAUAUAUUAAUGUUAAUGGGUGCAUUUUUGCUCGUGACUAUCAAGUGGUAGUAAUGUUCAUCACUUUAUUUAUUAGCAUUGGAAGAGUCUCACUUUUGAUAUUUGUGUCUAUCCACCACACAAAUUUCGAAAUUUAAACUUAUCUAAUAGUGAUAAAUAAGAUGUAGAACAUGAUUAUCACUUGAGGGUGGUGGUAAACAAAAAUAUUCUCUAAUGUUAAUAGUUGCUCCAGUGAAUUACUCAAAACAGUGUGCACCUGCCAGUGUUGAAAAUUGAUAUGCAAACUCCAUUAAGCAUUAGGUAGGUGCACCAGUGGUAUUAUAUGGGGUAUGAUUUUCUUCCCUCCUCUCACACAUUGCUUUUUGUCUUAUUGUCCCUCUAAAAAAAUGAAUAUAAGAUGUUGACGUGGCUUAACCGUGAUCAUUCAAAUAUGAGGGAAGGGAAGGGGAGAGAUGUUAGGAGGGGAGAGAAUCUUCCUCCGUAUUAUAUAUUGGCUAGGGUUUGAGAAAUCGAAGGUGAUAACGUCACCGAUCACAUAUCAUCUAAUAUUUUGGUACAAGAAUUCUCUCCCCUUCUCUUUCCAUCUCAUUCCAUCAUCUCCUCUCACAUUCUCUAUUUUGUUUUUCUCAUUCUAUAAAAAAUUAAUAUAAGAUACUGACGUAACUUAACUAUAACCAUUCAGAUAAAAGAUGAUGGAAGGGAAUGAAAAAAAAAAGAGCCGAAAAUCCUACUUCAAUAUUUUGAACAUGCAGACGGCCCGAUCAGAUGCAGCUAGUGGACCCUAGUCUUUUUUUGCAAAGUGGAAUGUUUUGAAAAACCAUACACACGCCAUCAAUUUUAUUAACUAUAAUCUUAUUUGUUGAGAGUUGAUUACUUAAGGAAAAAAAUAGCAUUUUGGAUCUUUGACUUCAGUAGCUUCAUUCUUCUGUCCUAAAGACCAUGCUCUGAUAAGCCCAGCAAAAACUCUCACAGAGAAUGGACACAAAAGUAAACGUACUGACGUACUCUAAAAUAGAGGAGGACUCUACAAUUGUACCUGGAUCAUGCAUGUUUUAGAUAAUCUAUAACAAUUCGGCCAAUUUUGUGCGUCCAGAUACCAUUGCUUGUUAUUUAUUUAUUGCCUAUCUGAUUAUGACUCCUUGUGGCAGGUAGGAAGGCUUCUGUAAUUUGGUUUAUUUAAUAUCUUGAUCAUAAGACCAGUUUGAAUGAACAUCACGAAUAACAAUUUCACAGCAACGUCAUGAAAAUAAUAUGAAUGUCAUUUUAUUAUUCCCUUUUUGCCAAUUUUUCUGUUUUAGGAGAGCUUGUGUAUGAGCGAUCGUAUGUCAAACUCUAUUGACAGGUAAGCUUGGGUGACGAGAAAUACAUAAGGUCCUGAUUUUGUGUUUCGUGGCAGGACUUACACAUGAUCAGUCUGUCAUACAUCAGAUUUUCUCAUGUUUUAGACCCCAUUGGAUGGGUAUGAAUCCAAAUUUAUGACAUACAAGCAACAUAAAAUCACUUUAUUAUUACUAUUUUUUUGUAAAUAUGAAAAUCUACUUACGGUGAAAAAUCCAUAUGCGAUCACCUUCCCAUUGUAGGGGAGCGCGGUAUAGCAGUUCUUCAAAAUUUCAAACAAUGCUCGUCACUCCAUUCGUGACAUAUCCACUGUGAGAUUGCGUAUGCAAUUUGAUAUUAGUUUCAAAUAUAUUAAGAAACUAAGCUAUUACAAUUGUUGAGAAUGAUUCCCGCAUUGAUGGGAGGAUGAACCUUACAUGGGCCUAUAAGAGGUUGUGCUGCUCUCUAUAUUAUCAAUUGGUCUCUAUAUUAUCAAUUGGUUUUCAGUGGAACCUCAACUUUUUUCAUGGUAUCAGAGUAAGUUGUCCACACGUGAAGGGACGUGUUGAGAAUGAGUCUCACAUGUGAGGGGAGUAUUGAGAAUGAGUCUCACACGUGAGGAGAGUAUUGUGAAUGAGUCUUAGGAGUAUUGAGAAUGAGUCAUUGAUGGUUGAAUGUUCCACUAUGAGGGGAUUGAGAAUGAGUCAUGGUUGAAUGUUCCAGUAUGAGGGGAGUAUUGAGAAUGAGUCAUUGAUGGUUGAAUGUUCCACUAAGUAGAUAGAUGUUGAAUGUUCCACUAAAUAUAUUAUCAUCACUACUAUAAGAUAUAUUUGUUGUCUUGACAUGAACGGUGGAGGUUGCAUCAAAGGGUUUUAAAUUUAACUUUUUGAGUAACGUGAAACAUUUAUUAUCCCAGACAACACUACGUGCUGGAAUCCUUCAUCCACAAACUAAGCUCUUACAAGUGUUGAGAAUGAAUCCCGCAUUGAUAGAAUGAUAAACCUUACAUGAGCCUAUAAGAGGUUGGGCUACUCCCUAUAUUGCCAAUUGAUUUUUCAGUGGAACUUUAACUUUCUUUAUGGUAUCAUAGUAAGUUAUCCACACGUGAAAGAACGUGUUGGUAUUCAGAAUGAGUCAUUGAUGGUUGAAUGUUCCACUAAACACAUUACCAUCACUACUAUAAGAUAUAUUUGUUGUCUUGACAUGAACGGUUUAUCAAAGGGUUUUAAAUUUAACUAUUUGAGUAACGUGCAACAUUUAUUCUCCCAGACAACACUAUGUGCUGGAAUCCUUCAUCCACCAUUAUCGUUUGUAAUUUGGUGGCCGAAGCUUCUAACAAAACAAAAUACAAAGAUGUCCAUACCCUUAACAGGUUUAUGGGGAAUGGAUAUCUAAGGUUAUAGUAUCGUUCUCUUUCAUGAUAUAUGCAGUAAUUUUUUUGAAAGCAAUACUCUAUAAUGGUGAAUAAUCUCUUUAAAGUCAUACAAAAUUCAUAUCCCAUGUAUAACCAGUUCUUUAUAUUGUAAUAAGUUAUAAUUUUUCUUGAUCUCAUUUUAAGGAAAGGCGUCUCUGCAUAGUUAUAAAUAAUUGUCAAUCAAUACAAAAAUAUGCAAAAAUAUAAAAUAAUUGGGGCCUAAAAAUCCUAUUUAGGAAAUACAUAAUAAAAUGAUCGUGGGUCAUGUAUGUUCUUGAACUGAAAGGUUCGAACCUUCGAAUAGCGCAGCAUUCAUUAAGGAUAAAUAAGUUAAUAAAUAAUAUUUCAGGUAUGUAAUGUAAUAAACUCCGUAUUGUAACAUGUUUUAAUUUUUAGGGUAAAUUAAACUUUAUCACCUUAGGUUUGAGGUCUAUUACAAUCUCAUACAACAUCUUCAAAACAUUUCAUUUUCAUACCUCAAAUACUAUUUUAUUUUAAUAUAAUACAUCCAUUACAUUUUCCAUUCAUUGAUUCGUUAAAAGUUGACGUAGCUGUCAUAUUUAUACCACGUGGCUGUCAAAUUUGUACUACGUAGCAAAAAAAUUAUUUUUUAUACAUUAAAAUAUUAUAAUAAUUUACUCUAUUAAAAAAAAAAAAAAAAAACUGAAAACCCAAAAACCCAUUGCGCCGACCACCUCCUUUCCUCCACUCUCUUCACCUACCCCUCAUCUUCAACCUCUUCUUUCCUCCCUCCCUCCUACAAACACACUCUCCAAAUCCUUACAAAUACCCAUACACCUUGAAGCAAAACCCAGCAACUCCAAAGCCCUCGCUGCAAAGCUCUCUCUCCCUCCCACCAUUUGUGAUGAGGGGUGUGCGCUGUUUCAGACCACCAGAAGUCGGUGAGGAUGUCAUCCCCGACCCAAAAUUGCAGUGAGAAAUGGAGAGAUAAAGGAGAAGGGAGGAAGGGAGAGAGGGUUUGAGGUUCAACGAUCAGGGGUUUAGCCGUCUAGGUUGGGUCCUGGGUUGCGGAAAGCAUGAGGGAGACGAUGAAGCCCUUGAUCUGGUCCUUCUCGGCAUCAGGGAUGGGGGUCUCGCCGGAAGAGGAGUUAGGAGCCCAGCGCGUCUUGAGGUGGUUUUUGAAGUUGAUGCAAGCGGCCUGCCGGAUUUGGUGAUCGGCGGUCCUCUCAGGGACGGUGAGGUCGUGAGUGAGGUGGAGGGAUGCCACAGAGAGUGAAGCCUGGGCGCGGAGGUGAGGCUCCGGGAACGGAUAGAGAGUGUGGAGGAAACACCGAGGAAAGGGCUGAAGGUGGCGAUGGUGUGACGGGAGGGAGGUGGGUCGGGUUCUGGGUUUUCAGUUUUUUAUUUUUUAUUUUUUUAUUAUUUUUAAAUAGAGUAAAUUAUUAUAAUAUUUUUAAGGUAUAAAAAAUUAUUUUUUUAAUGACACAAAUUUGGAAAUGACGUCAUUAAUGGAUGGAAAAUAUAAUGAAUGUAUUAUAUUGAAAUAAACUAGUACUUAAGGCAUGAAAAUAAAAUGUUUUGAAAAUAUUAUAUGAGGUUGUAAUAGAUCUCAAACCUGAUAAAUUGUAAUUUACCUUAAUUUUUAUUUGUCUCAUCUUGAGGAAUCACCACACAUCCACGUAGUUUAAAGGCGUCUUUCAAUAUGGGUCCAAUUUUAUAAGGUUAUUAUGAAAGGAGUAAUUACGUCGUCCAAGGUAGGGCCUAGCAAGUAUAAUAUAUCUCCACGUCAGUUAUUUAGAUGUCCAUAAUUUUCAAACGAAUUACAGCACUUGUCACUGUAGUUUUUGAAAUGAAUUUGCCAGAUUCCGACGAUUUUGAGAGCGCUGAGUUUAUCUCGUGGAUUCAAUGAUUUUGAAAAAAAAAAUAUUCCCGAUUCCUGCUUGUAUAAUUCAAAUUCGAAUUAUGAGAUGGAUAAAUAUGAUUCCUGCAAACAAUCAAUGCAGGCAGGAGUUUGGGUUUUGAAGGAUAUUCAUACCUGACAAACUGGCAUGGUAAUAUGCACCUGUUUUAUCUGUUCAUCCUUUGUUGUUAGUUGCUUUUGUUGUCUACCUAUAUGAGUGGAAGGAAACCAUAAUUUUCCAAUUAUGGUGGAAGUAUAGAUUAUACAUGCACGUGAUUUGAGACAUUUUUUUAGGUGAAAUUGGGUUAUAAUACUGAUAAAUGUUGUCGUCUGAAAUCUUGUACGACACUGCCACUGAUAAUUCAUAAUUUUUAUUUAUGCCCAAGUUGUCGUUUGGACAUUGAUAAUUCAUAAUUUCUAAGGAAAACUAAUGAAAAUGGUUUGAAAAUUUUGAGUUUUAAUGAUAAUGACAAAAUAAAGGGUAAAGUAAAUAGUACUAGGUUUGACUUUUUAGUGUAAAAAUGUGGUUUUUCGUUAAAGUGAACAGUACCGUGGACUUUUCGUUAAAACUCUCUAAUUUCUAAUUAUGGCAUGGUCCUCCUUUUCAUUUUAAACGAAGUGGUGAUUGUGUCGAGAGCGUAAGGGCGAUUUGGUACUGUUUUGCCUUGAAAAAAAAAUAUUUUUGUUAUAUUGUGAGAAUAAAAUUUAUUUUUUCUGUUUCAAUUUUUUAAUUUUUUUUAUCUAAAAUUAUGAAAAUAAAUUAUUUUUAAAUGUUUAACAAAUUUUUUUUUACACUUACUUUUUAUAAAAUACAGUACCAAACCAAACCAGUACUAAACGUGACUGUUUAUCCGAAUCACUAGACGAAAAGAGAUUAAAAAAAAACUCAAAAUCCUGGGUGAGAGAAAAUGAGCGAAAUCGGAAUCGGUGUCAAAGCGAUUAAUCUAUCGUCGACGACGCCGUCGCGCGAGAAGAAGGGAGUGACAGCCGAGAAAACUCCCCAGAAAGCUUUGUCGUCUUCUUCCGCGGAGGACGAGGACGGGAGUCCAAUCAGGCACAUUGCCUGUGUCAAAAACAAGGUCGAUGUCAAACACUUUGAGGGCGUCGAGGACUGCUUCAUCUUGGAUUUCGACCCCUUUGAGCCGGUGCAGUUUUCCAAGUUGUCCGUGUCGGAUAAUGGUGGUGGUGGUGGUGGCGGUUCUCCCGAUAUCGCUGUUGUUGCUGAGAAAGGACAGGUUUUGAUUUUUAUCGUUGACCCUUUUAAUUUUUUGUGUUAAUUUUCUUUCUUCUGUUUGGUUGCUGGAAAAUGCAGGUGAAGAAUUGAAUUUGAAAUCAUAACCCCAUGUUACAUAUGACCCCCUUCUAGGGUUUUGCGAAAGAAAGGAAAUUUUUAAUCAAUUUUCUUUCUUUGUUGUUGUGUUUGGUUGCUGGGAAAAUGCAGGUGAACAAAAUGAAUUAGAAAUUGUAACGCCAUUGUGAUAUUUUGCCUAUGAACCUUCAGGUGUUUGACCUCAAAAGUUUUUUAAAUUUAUAAGAAACUUUUCUGCUUAUCUGUUCAUAUUCCAAUUUUUGAGCUAAUUUAAUGUUGAAUGUCUGAUGGCUCGUGUGGAUUUGAAUUGAUGCUGUGUAGGUUGCUUGUAGAGACUAUCCACAUUCAAGACACCUCUGCCUGAAAUUUCCUUUCGAGACGACACCCCAUGAGAGCUACUGUGAGCUGGUAACAGAGUUUUACAACUUCAAAUAUUUGCAUCUUGUGAAUGUAUCCCCGAUUCCCUAUCUAUAUUGUCUAACUUGGCAUCUCAAAAGUGAACUCACUGAUUGUAUGUAGUGCUACUGCUAUGUUUGCGAUUCUUCCGCUCCAUGCGGGUUGUGGAAACUAUCACAUUGCCACGCCGCUGCGCACAUCAGUGACUGGAAGUGCAAAAGGAUGAUGAAACGGCAAGCCACGGUGAAGAAAUGAACAAAGCUCCUGUUGUUUAGCCGUAUUGCGGAUAGCGGUGUAUGAAAAAUACCAGAAAAGUGAACUGUUGUUUUACUAUUAGGCGGUCAAGUUCAUGUAAUUUUGUUCAUAGGGAGGGUACUUGAAAUGGCUUUUGUUCUGACUCGAAGAGAUGUAGUUACUAAUGAACUUACGAUGUUGGUAGAAAUGGAAUCAAAUUUGAUUAGUUCAAUUCGAAUUGAAUUGAAUUGAAUCUGAUUGUUGUGAAGAAAUCUCACUCGCAAUCAAUUCUAUUAAUUAACUUUAAUUCUAUCUGUUGAGAGAGUUGAUUACUUAGGUAAAAAAAAUUGCGCUAGAGCAUUGAUUUUUGGUUAUAAGUAUCAAAUUGUGUAUACAAACUCGAAUUCUAUCCAAUGUUUGCAAGACACCCUAAAACAAUCAACCAUAGUGAUAAGUUCAAUCAAAGGUAAAGAAAAUUGAAGAAAUGAGAUUUUGUCAUCGAGUAGAUUCUUUAAGCAAAUCCACAUAAUAAUGAUCAUAUUAUACCUUAAAAUUGAAACCGUAAAAAAUAGUGAUUCUUUGAUGAAUAUCAACCAUUCCCAUAAAUGAGAUCAAAGUUAAAUAAUAUUGAUUGUGACUGAGAUUUUCUCAAAAUGCAAGUUCUUUCACUAAGAAAAAAACAUUGCAUAGAGAGAAUCUCAAAUUGUCAAUUUGCACGUGUAAUUGUAAAAUCAAAAUUAUUGGUUGGUGCAGGCUCUAAGUAAUGUUUAGUGUCGAGCCGUUACCAAUACUGUUAGAGCGAGGCUCACAGUAGCUUCAUUCAUCUGCCCACAAGAAGAUACUCUCAUACGCCCACAAAAAAACUCUCACAGACACAUGCUUUGUCCGUCGUACACCAGGUUUUUUCAUGUUUUCCACCCCAUUGCGAGCGUAUGAAUCCAAAUUUAUAACUUACAACGAACAUAAAAUCACUUUCUUAUUACUUUUUUAUUUUUUAUUUGUAACAUAUAAACGUAGUUAUGGUGAAAAUAUGCGACCUCCAUAUCAAAAUAAAAGCAAUAUGAAUGCAGACGGCAGCAUACCACUGCCAAAGUUAUACUCAAAUCUUCUUAAGAAACUCAAUGGCAUAGAUGUGGAAAGCAGAGCAGAUGACGCGGAAGCCUUUGAAUCCAGAUCCCUUAGCCAAGGCCUCAAACUCCUUCUCCGUCCGCUCUUUUCCUCCGGGGUUGUAGCCUAACAUGAUCACGUCGAGAUUGACAACUACCUGGGUGGCAAGGCUGCUGUCGGGAGCUACUGGAAGAAUGCACUCAGCAAGAAUCACCUUCCCAUUGUCAGGGAGCGCGGUAUAACAGUUCUUCAAAAAUUUCAAGCAAUGAUCGUCACUCCAGUCGUGACAUAUCGACUGCAAGAUUGCAUACAUGAUUUGAGAGUAGUUCCAAAUUAUUAUGCAACUAAGCUCUUAUAAGAAAUUGAUAUUACCACUACAAAAUAGUCAUCGACUCUCUUUUUGAUAAAUAAUAACUAACCUUCAUGAAAAUUGCAUCUCCCUUUGGAACACUUGCAAACAUGUCUCCUCCAACAUGCUCCACACCUACAUCCAACAUCCAUAGAUCUCAUAUUCAUUAGGAAAAAUGAUAAAUAGUACAAACAUAAGCAAUAUUAGAGGAGGACAAAUCGAACUUGAGAGAGGUUGAGGUAGAGGUAAAUGCUUUUUAAGUAAUUGUACUACAAGCAUUAUCAGAAAUGAAGAACAUACCAAGAAAUUGAGGAGCAUCUUCUAUGACAUGAGGCAAGUCGAAGUUGAUACCCUUAAUCGAGGGGUACUUAGAAACGAUCAUGUUAACAACAGCACCAGUGCCACCGCCAACAUCUACGACGGAUGUAAGGCCCUCAAAGCCCUUGUAGGUCUCUAGAAGUUUUUUCAUGGUAAUGGUAGAUUGUGCAGCCAUUCCCCUGUUGAAGACCUUGUUGAAUCUAGGGUCAGUGCCAUGGUACUCAAAAGCACUCAUUCCAUAGGCCUUGUUGAAUGGAAUUCCCCCUUCAAGAACUGCAUCUUUCAAGUGGUACCUGCACAAACCCAAAACAAGCAUACAUGUCACUCUCACAACCAAAAGCAUUUAGCAUGUGUAAAAUAACGAAACAACACGUCGUUUGAUCAGUCAUAUGGGCAUGUCUCAGGACUUGGCUUCUCUGCCCUUCCAGUUCCCAUAUACUCUCAUAUUCUCCUAUUUGUGCGGUCACGGUUAAACCACGUCAAUAUUUUAUAUCACUAUUGCUUUUUUUCUUAUUAUUUUUAUAAAAAAUCAAUAUAAAAUGUUGACGUGACUUAACCGUGACCGCACAAAAUAGGAGGGGAUAAAAGUGUAUGAGAACUAGGAGGGCAGAGAAGCCGGGUCCCAUGGCUCAUAUGUGACCUUGGCCAAGCCACCUACCACGUGUUUCAAUGCCCGCAUAACUCACAAGCAUCAAAUAAUAAGGAAUUGUUGACAUAAUUCUUGUAUUGAUGUGGAUUACGCUAUUUAGCAAGGCAGUACCUCUUAUGUUCGAGUAUACAGUUUUAUUCCGACGUUCUUAUGAAAAUGAUGGAGGGGAUUUAAAUCACCUCUAGCAAAUUAACCUAAGUCACAUUGAAGCUUUAUGGAAGAAUAGAAUAAUUAAAGUGUUAAACAAUGGAGUCAUACCAAGGAAAAAAUGUUAAGAUGUAACUAGAUUAUCCUACAUUUUUUUCUAACUUGUUUAAAUUAAACAUAUGUUCCUUUACAAAAUUCCUCAAACUGUACAAGAAUGAUGAAUUUCCAGUCUUGUCUGUCCCCAACGACCAAAUCGGGCAAAAGUAGUAUGAACUAAGAAGAAAAUAGUAGAGAAUGAUAAAGAGAAUGGUUAAGUAGACUCUUUCACAGUGGAAUUUCUUACAGACUCUUUGUCAUAUUAUUUUUUGACACAAUAUUUUAUAAUAUUUGUAUCAAAAAUGUACCAAAAAUAUGAGAGACGGAGAGUCUGUGAAAAGUCUCCUCAGCAUUUCCCAAAAAGAAAUGUUAAGCAGACUGUCUAACAACUUAUGUUUUUAGCAUAAAUUUUAUAAUAUUGGUACGAAAAAUGAAUUGAAAUUGAGAUGGUAGAGAGUUUAUAGAAAGUAUCAUUUUGAUAGAAUCUCCAUAUCAUAUCUCUUAGUACAAAGGAUAAUGUUGGGUAGAUUAACUUUUUAGACAAAAUUUGUAACCGAUUUGAUGUGUCGCCAAUAAAAAUAAACAUGUUAAUCAAAAUGUCAAUAAACACAUUAUAUAGUUUAUAAAAUGAGAAAUGUUAGGGCAACUCUCAAUGGACUCUCUGACACCUCAUGUUUUUGACAAAAUAUUUGAUAAGAAAAUUAACGUUAAACUGUAAAGUGGCAGAGAGUCUAUGGAAAGUGUCACUUUGAGAGAGUCAUCUUAGCAUUUAUCUUAUAAAAUAUAUAUUAAAUAGAUAGUCUCCAAAACAUUACUCUACUAUACUAACAAGGGUAAUGCUAGAUAAACUAAUUUUUAAACUAAUGUUGUAAAUUAAAUGAUAUAGUUGUGAUGAUUGGAUUAUUACUUAAAUGUUGAUUAACAUUAUUAUUUAUUGAUAGCACAUAAUUUAAUUUGCAAAUUUAGUUUAACAAAUUAGUCUACUUAAUAACCCCCUAAAAAUAUAGAAAACAAUCACAUACUCAAGGCCCAACUCACAGUUAGUAACUUUUUUAUGAUUUUAUUCUGAUGAACCUGUUUAAAACCCAUUAUUAAUGUUUGUUUAGGAUCAAAUUAUGAUGAUAAAUUAAGAAGAAGAGUGGUAAUUACCAGCUCUCCAUAAGGACCUUGUCCUGACUCAUGAGGCAGAGAGGAGCAAUGGAAACACCAUCCUCGUUCUUUGUCAAGAACUUGCAGACGGGGCCGAGGCCGUACAGCCGCUCGACAUUGCCGUCGGGCAGCGUGCGGAGGGAGUAAGUGAGGAUGGAGUAGCUGGCCAGGAGGCGCAGCAUGCGGUCCAGCAUGACGGGGGCGUCAGGGUUCUUGGUUGGCAGCUGCGAAGAUAAGUCCGCCGAAGAAACGAAAGCGCCCGGCCCGGCUUUCACCAUGAUCUCGAGGAGGUCGAGCUCGAGGGCUGUCUUGAGCACCAUGGGGAGAACGGGGGCGUUGGCUAGCUGCAUGGCGAAGAGGUUUGUUUCUUUGUCGGUGACUUGGGUUGGAGGCAUCUGAGUCUCUCCGGUCGAACCCAUUUUUUGGAUUUGGUGUUGGUAGAGAGAGAGAGAGAGAGAGAGAGAGAGAGAGAGAGAGAGAGGAGGAGGAGAGGAGGAGGAGGAAUGAGGGUAGAAGAGAUGGGUGUGCUAACUGGCAAUAUAUAGGGAUUUGUUUACUAACACACCUCCUUGCCUUAUUUACUAAUUCGUAAUCAAAUUGAGAUGAACUGAAUUGAGAAUGAAUUAGAUGAAGUGAAAUUAGAAUCAAAUUCAUAUUAAAGACGUUUACUAAAAUUGGCUAGAAUAUGAGUUUAAAUGGUAUUGAUAUAUAUAAACGGUUUACCAAUUCACAUGAAUCAGAAUAAAAAUUAAUAUGAUUACUAAAAUACCCCUAUUGUAAUUAAUUUAUUUUAUAUCUAAUUAUUUUUAGUAAAACUAAUAUUCUUUCAUUUUUCAGUAGAGAGAAUAACCAUUUUUUUUUACUUUCUAGUAACUUUUAUUCUUUCAUUGGUCCUUACCACUCAAGAAUUGGACUCCGACCCUUUCAGGAGUUGAAUUCCUGAUUUAUGCAGGUCCCACAAUUAUUUUAAUUCCUGAUGGUUUGGUAACCGUUGGAAUGGUUGGGGAUAUGUGCAAUUCUGGUUCCCACCAUCCCAUUCCCCCUUGGUAAACAUGCCCUUGAUGUGGUACCAAGUUGUGCCGGAUGAGGAUCCUCUCCUGAGCUCAGGAUGGGGAUCCUCUUGACCAACCCAUCUGGACCGUUCAAAUUUAAUCUAACUGUUCCAAACAGGGGGCCCCUCUAAAAGUUAUAAUAAUUGCAACCGUUGGAUUACAUUUGAACGGCCUAGAUUGGCUAGUCAAGAGGAUCCCCAUCUUGAGCUCAAGAGAUGCUCUUCUUCCCAUGUUGUCGACCACCAUGCAGGACCCCACAUGCCUCCCACAGGUCUUACCUUUUAAGUCUAGCUUUAUAUUGUACUCUUUAUCUGGUUGUUUUGUUUUAUUUCCUUUUAGGGAUCCUUAAGAGUAUUUAUACUUAUAUUUAAGAUAAAAAAAUUGUUAUAAUAUUUUUCGAUAAUUAAAAAGAAAAAUACACUUUAGAGGAGUGUAGAUUGAGAUUUUUAGAGUGCUAAUAAAAAUUCUCUUAAGGUAAUGUGUUUAAUAUUUUUCCCUCUCAGUUUUGUUUUUUAAAAAUAUAUGAACAAAGUUAACAAUAAUUUACAUAUCCAAACUUUGAGGGCGAGCCAGGGUGCAAUAGAAAUGUUGGUCCUUUGUAACCGGAAAGUCAUGGGUUCGAGUCGUGAAAACAACAUCUUUGCAACGUAAGAAUAAUAGUGCGUACGAUAAACGUUUAUCACUGCAAAGCAAAAAGUCUUGUUGGCUUGUAGGCCCUUUACAAAUCCAAAACUUUCCUAUCAAAACGUGUAGUUUUCUUCAAUACAAUGUUAUACUCGAUGGUUUAAAAAGUUUACAAUAAGGUCGUUGUUAUUUAUUUAUUAUAUGUUAUGGUGUUUGAAAAGUUUUUAAGUCCAAAGUUUUUCUCCCUUGUUGACCCGGCAAAACAAGUUACUUAAUCUACGCAAUUGUGAAAUGACGCAAAGAGGUUAGAAUGGCAUUGGACAAACUAUAAAAGAGCGCUUUCAAAAAAAAAAAAAAAAAAAAAAAAACUAUAAAAGAGCAAUUUGCAUGGAACAAAUUUAUCGUUAUUGUGUUGCUUCAGUUCAAUAAUGUAAUAAAAUAUCUAAAAUAAUUUACACUAACAUUAUAUAAUAAAAAUGAAACGUCACGUGAUGAUAAACACAUUCCAUAUAAAUCCUUACAGUAUUCUUGAUCAAGCAUCAUAUUUUCGUGAAGCUCAAAAGAUAAUAUACUAAAUUCAGAUGAUGCCAUUGCCAUCGUUUGUGUUAUCCUGACUAAUCCAUGAACGGGAUCGGUUCUCUUGGCAAUUUACAAAGAGCAAACAAAAAAGAAAAAAAAUAUAUGUGACAAUUAUUGUAGUCCUAUUAUAUUUGAAUGUGAAUAUGUAAAUUCUAAUGUAUUUAGGGGUAUCUUGAAAUAUUCUCUACGGUUAGAUAUUAUCCUAUUAAAGUUGUAAUCAUAUUGGGGUAAGGAAUUUACCUUCCUAACUACUAUAAAUAAAUGCACAAUGGGAUGAAAUAUAACACACCUCACAAUUACACAUCUCUCUCUUCUCUUUCUAUGCCACACUCUCUCUUUCUGGCCUCCAUAACUUUUCAGUAAAUUAUGCCUACAACACGUUGUUAGCACACUAUUGACGCUGCGCUACAUAAAGUUUGUUCUUCAAUCCUAAAAGUAUUACGUGUUAAUCAUUCUUUUUAUAAUUACUUUAUUAUUUUAUUGAAUUGAUCUACAUGCUAUUGAUUCAAUUUAAUUUUUCUUUGUUGUAUGUGAUAUAACGCACUAGAGAUGCAAUUCCGGCUUUUAGUGAAGGAUAUUCUACAAAUUCAAAGGCUUAGUUGUUUUCUGCCAAUCAGGUUCCUUUAAAAUAAUUUAAGAUAUUUGAAAUGACCGUAAAGCAUGAAAACAUUCCCCAUGAUGUAUGAACACCCUAUAUUUAUAUUUUCCUUUCAGUUAUACACACACACACACACACACACACACACACACACACACACACACACACACACACACACACACACACACACAUACUUGUUCAUGCAAUACGCAAUUAUGCUAUGUGGAAUUUGUGAGUCAAGGCAUCGAAAAUAAUUUAGAAGUAAUUAGGUUUUUAACCCUAGAAUUUGAAAAAACAAAUUUAAAAAAAAAAUUCUGGGAUUUUUGUGGCAUAGGUCGCAGCUCGCCGCCAGAGCAUCGCUGUUGGCUUGCAACUAACUGUGUCGAGCACGCCACCUGGAACGACAUUGUUUCGACAUUUGGACUACGCAGCAGCCCUUUAGGCUUUGCUGCGCCUACACAGACACCUGGCCUCAGCCUGGUAAGGGUUACCGUGGGCCUGCAGCCCCUCCCACCCAAACUAGCAACUUUUAAGUUGAUGGGCCUUAUCCCGAGUCCCUAGCCCAAAUCAGUAGCAAGCCCGUUGCUUGCUGGGUCCAACCUAUGCCCCUGGCCUGUUUGUUGGGCUAUGCUAACCCUCGGCCUAAACCUACCAACAGCCUUAAAGCUGCUCGGUUUCCACUGCACAUAGCCCAAAUUGAAGCCAGCUUGCAGCUGGGCUUCACGCACACCUAUCCCAGGCCAGCCCCUUGUUAGGCUUGUACUCACCGCGCUUUUUUGUGGCUUAGAACCAAUAGUCUAGCUGCUAGGCCUAUCCCAGACCUACGGCCCGUAGCCUGCAGCCAUGAUUGGGUUGUCUUACAGCUAACAUGUGGCCUACUAAGCCUUUUUAGGGCCUUACCAUGUACAAGGCACCCUAGCCCAUCGAGAUUGGGCUAUAAUUUUUCGAACCCAAUGUUAUUCUUUGGCAUUCCAGCUAAUAUUAACUUGAAUGUUAUCAUUAUUUUUGCUUCUACGAUUAAACCUGAAUAGUUAUGAUCUAUUGAAUUAAUUAAAGUGACUAGCAGUCCAUUAAUCGGACAAUUAAUCCAAAAUUAUUAGCCUGAAGUCCACUUUUUGGCAAUUAACGAUUCAAUAAAUUAUUUCUUUUCUUUGAACUGUUGACUCCAUUUCGUAGUCCUGAAGCACUUACACUUGAGUUCCUGAAGCAACCCAAAUCCACUACACUUAGUUGUAUAUUGUAUUUUGUAUUCUUAUGGGUACCUCAUUUUAUGAACCGGAAGUUCAUAAACCAAAUUGAACUUGUAGUUUCAAAUUUAGUGUCUUUGAAACCCGAAGUUUUCAUAAAACAAGUACACACAUGAAUUGCUGAGGGUUGAGUGUGCUUGCAGUGCAGCCUCCAGCAUUGCAGGUUUGGUCGCUUGACUUGCCUUACACGUGCGUAAACUACAUGCGCCUGACACAAAAAAAAAAAAAAAUAUGGCUAACACCAGUUCCACUUAGGCGCUGAGUUGGGCUAUUCUUGCCUGAUUGAACAGUCGGGUUCUACUUCCUUCCACUGUAGCUCGACUCAUUUGGGUGGGGUGGAAAGGAUUUUAGGGGUUUUGAGGGAUUUAGUGACUCAUCUGCUUGAGCAAUUGAGAAAAGUGGACUUGCUUUUAUUGCCAUUGUUGUUUUGUGAGUCUCACACACAUAAACGAUUAGAAUCAGUUUCAAAAUUAAUCUAAAUAAUCCUAUGGAAAUUGAUCAUUUCAAUGAUCCAAACAGAAAAGGUUAAUAAUUUCUGGACAUCGAAUAAUACUAUAUUUAUGUCAAUAUCCGCUCAAACUAAUCACUCUCUCUGAAUCUUUUGUUGAGGAUCGUGGGGAUCCGUGAAUCGUGUCUGUUUAUCGUACAUCGUGUGGUCAUUUUUUUUCAAGUACUGUUUAUGUUUAUUUUUAAAUAAAAAUAUUUAAAAUGAUUUCUGACCGCAUGAUGUACGAUGAAUGGACACAAUUCACAGAUCCCCAGGAUCCUCGCAAAGAGGAUCCAACGAGGAUUCGGACUCGCAUACUCCAUGAAGUAAGCAGAUAAAUGGUAUUAUUUAAUUGGCUAGGGUUUGACAAACGACAGGGAAUCACCAUCACAUCUUACCCAAUUUUUUGAACAUGUUGACAACAGAUUGGAUGCAGCUCUUGGUGACGAAAACAAAUUGCAAUUCCACCUCAUAGUUGGACCGCUGUCAUUUUGUUUGGAAGAAAAGGGAAAGGGAUCCUCUUUGGAUCCUUUCCUCCUAAUCCACUAAGUCCGGGGAUUUGAACCAUUAAAAUUUGAUCUAAUGGGUACAAACCAGAGGCAGAUCCAUUAAGGGAUCGAGGUGGUCCCAGGACCACCCGCAAGCUCAGAUAAAAGCCUAUUGAAACCACUGAGGACCACCUAAGUAUGGACUGUGGUGGUGGAGAACAGCAGCCAUGGCUGCCGAUGCACUACUCAUUCUAUUGCAGAAGGAGAAAGAAGAGGACUUAUGUUUUAAAAUAACUUGGCCAAACGCACUGUUUUGAGCCAAGCCAAUAAAAAAAGUUUUAAAAGCACUGCCAACUGCUCUUCUCAUUGUGAUUGGACAUCCCUUAGACUCCACGUGAUGGGUUUUUAAUCAAUUCCCAAGUAAAAAACAAUUUAGAGAUUUUAAUAAAAAGGAGAGAGUAAAUUAAGUGGGUCCCAAUCUCACUCAAGUAAACAUUUCGUUUUACCUUUGGUGUUUUGCCUUUUGCUAUGCACCUUUGCCAUUUGGUUGCUGUUUCUAAAGAUAUUUUAAUUAUAUUCGUUUAUUGUAAUUCGUGCGGUUAGAAAUUAUUGUAAUUUUUUUAUUUAAAAUUGAAUAUAAACAAUACCUGACAAAAAUAUCCUCAUUCGCCAGCAAAGAUACUUUGGGAUUCCUCAACUCUUCUAGCCAGCAAAAAACCUUUGAACUUACCCUAUUCUCUAUCCCUUGACAUUAGGGCUUAGCCUUUAGGUUUGCAAACGUCUGCCAUUCUUCUUUUGAUCCCAAAACCCUAAUUAGGGUUUAGUUAUGCAAGCUUUUCAUGGGGACGUUGGUUUAUUUAUUAGUGCAUGUUGUAAGGACGUGUCACUUAAGUGUUUAACACAAUGUUUAUUUAUGUUUUAAUCGUAAAAGUUUUGAUAGUCUUGCAUUCACGAUAAGAGUUAUACAUAUUUAGUUGUACUCAUUUUUAUUUUGGUAGACAUAUAAAUAGUAAUGACUUUGUCGUUUAUUUCUUUCAGUAUUAUUUUGGUUUUAUUUUAUUUAAUAUUUUUGCUAUAAAAUUAGGACCACCCGAUGCUAAAAUUCUGAAUCCGCCACUGCUACAAACAGGGCCCACUUUAAAAGUUAUAAUAACUUCAGUCGUUGGAUCAAAUUUCAAUAGUCCGAAAUCCCGGACUUAAUGGAUUAGAAUGGAAGCAAUCCGGAAAUGACCCAUUUCUGAAGAAAAGUAAUCUUUCCAGAACCAAAAGAGGUACAAAGGUCUCCCCUCUUGAAAAAAACUUCUUCACCAACCAGUAACAAAACUUCUUCACCAACCACGCAAAAGUAUUAAAAAUUUAAGAGAGAUAAGUUGUGCAAGGUGUUUAAUUAAAAUAUUUGUUCACUAAUUUAGAUUUUCAUUGAUUAGUUUUCGCUUUCCACAGUACAAUUGACUAAAGUAGGAUGUAUUAAGAUAUAACUAGUCUUCAUGCACGUGCUCAUGCUAAAGGUAUUUUUGGAAUCACAGCAUGCUACGCGUGACUGACACGUGUUAAAUGUAUUUAUAUGUGUAAAUUGACAAAAGGAAAGUCAAAUAUUUGAAGUAAAUGAAUAAUAUUAGAUCAUGCUAGAAGAAACCCUUCAUAAACCAAUUAAAGCAGCUGAAUUCACAUAAUAAAAUCGAUCUCCAUAGAAUUUACAUUAAGAAUAGAGAAAAUAAUAUCGAAUGAACAACUGCUUGAAUUACAUUAUUGCUAGACCAUUGUGAGGCUAAGCCCACCCCCUCCCCCUUAGUGUAGAGCGCGUGCAAAAAACAUUUUUUUGAAUCAUGGCAUGCUACGCACGACUUACACGUUUUAAAUGUAUUUAUAUGCGUAAAUUGAUAAAAGAAAAGUCAAAUAUUUGAAGUAAAUGAAUAAUCUUACAUCACGCUAGAAGAAACCUCUCAUAAACUAAUUGGAGCAACUGAAUCCACAUAAUAAAAUCGAUCUCUACAGAAUUUAUAUUAAGAAUAGAGAAUAUAAUAUUUAAUAAACAACUUAUUAAAUCACACUAUUGCUAGCCCAUUGUAAGGCUAAGCACACAUCCUCCCCCUUAGUGUAGAUAAUAUCGUUUGUUAAAAAAAAAACAUUCAUUUGACAACUAAGUUAAUGUUAAUAAACAACUGAUUGAAUCACACUAUUGCUAGCUCAUUAUGAGGCUAAACCCACUCCCUUCCCCUUUAGUAUACAUAAUAUUGUUUGUUAAAAAAAAAACAAUCAUUUGACAAUUAAUUUAAUCACAUUAUUAUCCGUGUGGGAAGUACCUUUUUUAUAACUGGCAUUACACGACUCUUAAGAUGUUUUGAACGUAUUUAAAAAUAGAGAAAAUAAUAUUUUCUGAAAUUGGAUUGAAUCAUAUUAUUGCUAGCCUAUUUAAAAAAAUAAAAAAUAAAAUAUGUACAAAUUUAUCACCGGUGCUACGCGCCUCUUAAGAUGUUUUGAACACAACAUUCAUGAUUUUCCUUAUUUUUUAUUAUAUUUUUCUUUCAUCUUCACUUGGGCACCAUCAACUUUCACUCAUCCUUCCAUUUUUUUAUUCUUUUCUCUCUUCCCAUUUAUAUUUAGAGUAAACUGUCGAUUUGCCCCCUAAACUUUCACUGAACUUUCGAUUUCCCCCCUGAACUUUUCGAUUGGAAAAUUUCCCCCCUGAACUAAUUUUUUUAGCCAAUUUGCCCCCUACCGUUAGUUUUUCAAACAUUCCAUCCAAAUUUCUGUUAAGUGAGACCAUGUGCACAACAUAUGAGGGUAGUUAAGUCAUUUCACUCUUAAAAAUGAUUAAAAAACUGAAAAUUUCCCUCUAAUUCAUAUCCUCAAUUUUAUUUUUCACUCAUUCCUAUGUAUAAAAAAUGACAUACGGUGUUAUUGUCUUCAUGGCAUGAACAUUCUAGUAAUUUUACAUUAUUAAAAAAAAUGAUUAAACAAAAACAGAUCGAAGAAAAGAAAAAAAAAAAUACAAAAACCCCAGCCACCACCACUUCCUUUCCGCACCCCCAUCACCCCACCCUACGACAUCCUCCCCCUACCCUCAUCUCCCUCAACCGUAACCCCCACUCCCUGAUUUGGCCCCACCCUCUGCUACCCCAAUGACCCAACCCUCUUCCUGCAUCACAAAUCUCUCUCUCUCUCUCUCUCUCUCUCUCUCUCUCUCUCUUCUCUCUCUCUCUCUCUUCCCACUUUCUUCGUUCCUUGCAUUGUUCGUAGAAUAACAAAUAGAGAGGGGAAGGAGAGUCUCUGUGUGUGGGAAGGGGGAGGACCGGAUAUGGUGGUUGAUGGGUCUCAGGGGUGGGAGGAGGUGGUAAUUGUGGGUACAAGGAGAUCGGCGGUAGAGGUAAAAAAUAGAGGGAAUUUUUUUUUUAAAUUUAUUUUCAGUUUUUUAAUCAUUUUUAAGAGUAAAAUGACUUAACUACUCUCAUAUAUUGUGCACAUGGUCUCACUUAACAGAAAUUUGGAUGGAAUAUUUGAAAAACUAACGGUAAGGGGCAAAUUGGCUAAAAAAAUUAGUUCAGGGGGGAAAUUUUCCAAUCGAAAAGUUCAGGGGGGAAAUCGAAAGUUCGGUGAAAGUUUAGGGGGCAAAUCGACAGUUUACUCUUAUAUUUAUAUUUUAUUUUAUAAUGAUCAAAUUUCCCAUGUAUUAUUUGAUAUAUUAUAUUGGGUUGCUUUUGGAUUUUUUUGGUUGUGAGUCAAUUUUGUCCUAAUAUUUUUGUCGAAGUCAUGACACCAAAUCGGCAAUAUUCAUUGCCCUAUUCGCUAUAUAUAUAUAUAUAUAUAUAUAUAUAUAUAUAUAUAAUAGAUAGAUGUUGAACGUUCCACUAAAUACAUUAUCAUCACUACUACAAGAUAUAUAUAAUAGAUAGAUGUUGAAUGUUCCACUAAAUACAUUAUCAUAUCAUCACUACUAUAAGAUAUAUUUGUUGUCUUGACAUGAACGGUGGAGAUUGCAUCAAGGGGUUUUAAAUUAAACUAUUUGAGUAACGUGCAACAUUUUUUCUCCCAGACAAUACUGUUAGAGCGAGGCUCACAAUAGCUUCAUUCAUUUGCCCACAAGACGAUGCUCUGAUACGCCCGCAAAAACUCUCACAGAGGAUAGGUCUUUAUUUUUUCUUUAUGGCAGCACAGACACAUGCUCUGUCCGUCAUACACCAGGUUUUUUCAUGUUUUACACCCCAUUGCAAGCUUAUGAAUCCAAAUUUAUAACAUACAACGAACAUAAAAUCACUUUUUUAUUACAUUUUUUUGUUUGUUAUAAACCUAGUUAUGGUGAAAAACGUGCGACCACCAUAUCAAAAUAAAAGCAAUACGAAUGCAGACGGCAGCUUGUAUACCACUGCCAAAGUUAUACUCAAAUCUUCUUAAGAAACUCAAUGACAUAGGUGUUGAAAGCGGAGCAGAUGACGCGGAAGCCUUUGAAUCCAGAUCCCUUAGCCAAGGCCUCAAACUCCUUCUCCGUCCGCUCUUUUCCUCCGGGGUUGUAACCUUACAUGAUCACGUCGAGAUUGACAACUCCCUUGGUGGCCAGGCUGCUGUCUGCAGCUACUGGAAGAAUGCCUUCAGCAAGAAUCUCCUUCCCAUUGUCAGGGAGUGCGGUAUAACAGUUCUUCAAAAAUUUCAAGCAAUGAUCGUCACUCUAGUCGUGACAUAUCGACUGUAAGAUUGCAUACAUGAUUUGUGACUAGUUCCAAAUUAUUAUGCAACUAAGCUCUUAUAAGAAAUUGAUAUAGCACUACAAAGUAGUCAUCAACUCUCUUUUUGAUAAAUAAUAACAAACCUUCAUGAAAAUUGC